Molecule: long non-coding RNA, 79671 nt
Filed under: Musa acuminata (dwarf banana)
Lineage: Eukaryota; Viridiplantae; Streptophyta; Magnoliopsida; Zingiberales; Musaceae
Description: long non-coding RNA (MACU_LNC008093)
Source: RNAcentral
CUCUUUACUACUCUACUGGUGCAACAGGACUGCUACUACUCUAACAAGAACAAGAGCUGGAACAGGAACUCUACUUUAUGACUGGAACUGGGGAUUCUACCGUUAUAAGUAAGGGCAACAGGAACAGGGCUCUAAUCUACCUAUGGCAACUGCCAAGCGUAUACUUGUAGCGGGGAAUCAUUACCUUAGGACUACUACCCUUACUUUCAGGCUUGAACGAGUCCGGUCAUAUUCCCCUUUGUCUUGUGUUGGCACUUCCCUAAUUAGCACGUCCUACUCUCACUCAACUCAAAGCGCUUAGCCGGUUACUGCUCUAUUCGGUUUAUGAGGUUUUCUUUAUUCCCCAAUCAACCUUUGCUUACUUUGUUUUGAAACCAUAGGUCGUAGGUUUAGAGAUUAAUUACCGGGUCCUCUGAUCGUCCUGAUACGAGAGAUUCCACCGAUGAUAACAUUUGAUUGCUCAGGUGUGUGGCAAACAUGUCCCCUGACAAAUCACAGAAAAAGAAGGCUUCGCACCGAGAACGAGAAUACCACCUCUGCCCUGGUAAUUUAUGCCCCGUCCUCGAUUAUAAGAUGUGGUUUGCUUCACUUGACUGACUAACACAUAAUCCAAUUAGCCAGAGGAGUUUAGGAGGCAGGCAUGCGUCUAAAUAAGAUAAGAUGGUAUAAGAAUUGACUCUUGGAAGGGCUUUGCGCCUUAGACGUGAAAUGCGCAUUGCUUGUUGAUGGGAAUAGUGCUUAACUCUUCAUUGCUUGUUGAUGGGAAUAGUGCUUAACUCCUAACUUGAGAGUCAUAGAUGCCUAUCGCUCUUCUCUUUGCAAUAACCGCAGUCAGUUUGGGAUAGGAAUGAAGCCAAUUUACCUUACAAGAAGAUCAAUAGGAUUUGAGGAGAAAGAUGUCGAUUCAGAAGUCAAGUCGGAGGGCUACCUCUGAACGACUGAAUUGUUUUACCGCGCUCUACUUUCUUUCGGGGAUGAUCAAGAUGGCCAGUUCUUUCUUUUCUUCUUCGGACCCUCUUCUUUGGUCUAGGAAAGAAAUAACACAGGAACCAUCCCUUUGCUUUUGGUCUCGAAAACAAACCCUUCGUUAGGCAAGACAGAUGGAUUCUCUGCUUUUUAUACCUGAUGCGCUCUCUUUCUCCUAAAACGUCCUUCCCUUCCUUUAACUCUCUAUGUCUGUAGGAUGCUUGCCUUUUCGCAAUCCAUGUCCAGCACGGGGGAUUCCCCUUUCUUUUGGGUCAGUAAUAAAAUCAGGUACCAACGAAUUGGACCACCAAGAACCUGGGGAUCGGGGGUCUACCUUAACCACCUACAGAAAGAGAUAACAGUAUUUUCUGAGUUGCUCAAAUAGCUCCAUCCCGAAGUCGGUAUUUUCUAGGUCAAAUACUCAAUUCGCUACGGUCUAUUUCUACUUGUGAGAAAGAUCUUUUUCUAUCUUUGACAGGAAAUGGCAUAGCUCCAUUCAGUGGAUGGGUCAGUUCGUGGGCUGGGUCUCAGUUGGGUUUCUAAAGUUCUUAGUUCUAAAAAAUGGAUUGUCUAGGUAGUUCUGAAAUCUAAUAGGUCUAUAAAUAUAAAUGAAAGAGGGCCAAGCAACGGGACAAACAACUAAGUAAGCCGGCCAAGCUACUACAGUUCACAGAGCCAGAGCCAGAGAGGGCAGGGAAACAGGCGUAUACUAGACUAGCAACGGGACCAGACCACCAAUAAUCAGAAUUCCACUCAAACAAGAACAGCCCCGAGCUGGCAACUAUCAUACCUCUCCUCAAGCGUAUACUACUUCCAACCGAUAUCAGGUCUUCUUCUCCGCUCCUAUAACUGAAUUCAGAUUGGAGCAAUAUGAGUUUUCUUUCGCUUAGGGCAUCCAUCCCAACUCAAGUCCUAGCCCAAGUCUCACUUUGCUAUCAGCCAAGGAACUACUAAUGUGUAGUGGCAGGAGCGUUUCAUAGCAACCCUGUUUUCCCUAAUAGCUAGGUCAAAAGUCAUUCCUUUUUUGCGUUUUACCGUCUUUUUUGAUAGCGAAGGUGUUUUGCCUCCUAAGGGAUCGGAUAGAAAUGACAAUUUGACGUUUUCCCGGGAUUUUAGAUAGCGAAGUCAUUUCCGCUAAUAGAUGUCCAAUUUCUCAUGAUCAUUUCACGUUUUCCCGGGAUUUUUCAUAGCAUUGGAGUUUUCCCAGCUAGAGCACCCAUUGGGAAUCCAAAGUUGGCGUUUUCCCGUCUUUUUUCGUUGCAAAUAGAGAAAUAGUAUGGGAUGGUACUUCACUUAGACUUCAACUCAGUAUUCCACUGGCAGAACUUCUGCUGUUGGGCCUGGUGUUGGUUCUUUCAAUCGAGUGUUAACGCCUACCUCGACUCAAUGCUAAGUGAAUUAGUUCUUGCCCACCUCGCCUUAAAGCCAAGUAAGUCUAUUAUACCUUAGCAACAUUAGCUACCACCGAUUGCCCUCAGUCAGGAGUUAUAGAAUGGGGAGCUAACUAAACUCAGAAUCAAACUACUAGGGCAAAGACCGAAACCAGGUAGUCCAAGACUGACACAAAGCGGACUUGCUCAUAACGAGUUAUAAUGCAUUUAUUUGCCUUCUAUGUUUUUGUAGUAGUUACUUGGCCCUUGUUGGACCGGUAGGGCAGCUUCGAAGUCAGUAGUGAGAGUGUUUUUUUCUUGGUUCUAUUCUUUGGGGCGUUAUUGGAGUCUAAGAGGUGGUAUGUCGAUUCUUAUAGUUAGUGGGGUUGUUCCCAGUUAGUAAGGUGAGUCCUGUUAGCAGUGGUUCUAUUUGAUAUAUCAGUGUCUUUUAGUUGACUAGUGGAUUCCCAGUUAUUGGUUUGCAUCUUUAUUAGCAGUGGAGCAAGCCAGUAUUCCCAGCUUCAUGAUUUGCAGGAGUAGCAGCAUUCUUACCUGAUGGGAACUAGUUUGAGUUAUCGUAGUAGAAGCACCAGUGCAAUUCUUCUCAAUAGUCGUUCGUUUCUUUAUUCCUAGGUUUCUUCUGAUUAGUAGUGGUUGUGGCCUUGCCCCUAUUAGGGGAAGGUUUAGAAGCACAGGUUUGAGUUUGAAAGUAGGCAGGGACAGACUGCUUUGCUGUAAGUAAAAGUAUUAGAAGCACUAACUUGAGUCUUAGUGGGUAGUGUUCGAUUCCCUCUUUUGAGUUAAGUUAUGAGGAGCACCGGCUGCAUUCUUUUGUGUAGUAUAGUGGUCUUCCCUUCCCGCCGAGGGGGUUAAGUCUUGUAAGUAGCAGCUCCAUUCUUGUUAGUUGCAAUUAAAGUAAGUAAGUAAGGCUACCAUAUUAGAAACUGUAGUGAAGCCUGUGUUCUGUGGUUAAGUCUCUUAGUGCGCUGAACCCUGUUCUUUAGUGAGUCGUUUCUUUCCUAGUUUAGGUGCUGAGUGCGAUUCCCGAGUGCAAUUCUUUCCAGUAGUGAUUUAAUCCUUUGACUUACCUGUUCAAUUCAUAUGCUCUUGUUCUACUCUUGUACACUGGCGUUUCAUUCCUUCCAGUAGUAGCUACAUUCUUUCCAUUAGUCGUUUAGUUCCUUUUUCGUAGGGGUAUGGUUAGUGGGGCAGGUCUUAUAAGCACUAUUACAAGUCCGAGAAGCACUGGUUGAUUUCCUUAUUCUAAGAAGAACAAUGUUUGGAAGCACUAAUUCUGUUCUAUUGGUACAGUGCUACAGAACAAAAGCUAGCAGUAUAAAUGUAGCUAACAGGCGUAGGGCUGAUAAACCGGAGAUAUAAGACUGAGCCCGUUAAGUUUCAGAAAGAGAAGCAGGACAGUUAGAAUCAAAGGCGGUGAAGCAAGACCCGAGGUUAGUAGUAAAGGCGGAAGUCAGUGUUUUGCGCCUAUCCCUAUAUAGAGCGGUAAGAGAGAUAUUCCAUUCCAGUAGUUGGCGAUAAGGGAGAAAGAUAUGAAUUGCCAGUUAGUAGGAGCAGGUCACUUUUCGAAAUCCAAUAUGCAUUUGUCGAACCAAUAGGUACCUAACCUAAUUCUGCCUAUUUUCUUAGUUGACCCUGACCCCCUUAUAUACAAGUGAACAGGACUCGUUAAUGACUGCUAUACAUACAUAUUAAGAAAUUCAUUAGGUAGUCAUAGUUGCUUGUCGGAUUAUUCCCUCACUUCUGCUUCAGAUACAUCUGUUGCCUCAGAUCUUGAAACUUAUUGUUCUGUUGCAGAUGAUCUUGUAACUAAAGAUUCAAUAGUCUCCUUUCCAAGCACAGCAUUAGCUUCAGCAGAUGAGCAUUCGGUUUCUUCAACUACUCCCGUCCCUUUAGCCUCCUCGUAAUAACGCCCAUUAAUUAAGGGCACCAAAAACAGGACAUAGAAAACAGGCUUCUUACAGUGAAACUGACUCUCUUCAAUGGCAUGAGGGAAGGAUGAAACUGUUGGAAAGAUCAUAUAUAGGAAAAAGCAAAACACUUAUAAGAAUGCCUAUGAAUUAAAAGAAUAAGUGCUUUAGAGAAAUCAAUAGAAUUAUUCAUACGGAGCAUGCGGAUCAAAGUAGAAUCGUACUAUUACUUAUCGUUUUUUGACCUUACUCCUUCUCUUGCUGUGGCUGAGACUAUACUACUGCUAUGAGGUCUUUCCUUAGUUUUCCUUCUUUCUCUGUUUUCUUACCGAGGUUGUAAGUUCAGUUACUUUAUCCUUCCCUGUCUAUUAGCUUAUUGAGUUGAGGAAGAGACUUACUGACUGCCUUUCUUUAUUUGUUUGUUUGUAUUAGACUAACUCCCUAUUUUUCCAAGAAUCAGAGGGCUACGCUAAAGAGAUUGCGGCAUUCAUUCACCCAGACUUGAUAAUGGAACCCUUGUCCUGCAAGCCCCUUAGCAGACUAUAAAGAGAAAGUGGAGUAAACCCAAAAGACAAGAAAGAGUCAGCGCACCCCCGGACCUCUUGUUUGGUAUCUUUCGAGACUCUCCCUCUUCCGAGGCUAGCCUCAAGAAAACCCCUCCCUCUCCUGUUGGUCGAGCUAGCCCCAUCCUCUUAGCCAUUUCUUCCUCUGUCAAAGAUUAGCAUUCAUCUUGUCUUUGAAUUAUUCUCUUUCUUAUCUUUAUUGAUUUCUGUGAAUCAUUCUCUUUCUUAUCUUUAUUGAUUUUGAUUAUAGUAUGAUAUGAUCCAAUGAUUAUAGUAUGAUAUGAUCCAAUGAUUACUUUAUUGAUUUUGAUUAUAGUAUGAUCCAAUGAUGAUUCCUCCCGGUGUAUGAAGGAAGAUGAUAAUCCUUUGUUGAGUUGGAGUUAGGAGCUCUGCCUUGGUUCUUUUUUCUUGCUUGCCAACUUGAUUCUGUCUUCUCAUUGAGCUUAGUAGAUACAACUCGUCUGGCACUUUCUGACCGGUCCGUUGGGCAAAGAGCACUUUUCACCCGGAACUCCCCUUUCAAGAGUAAGCCGAGGGGAACCUUCUUGAUCUUAAUCAAAUACAUUCCCUUCUCUUUCUUUAUUGAUUGAUUUCUUUCUUAAUACAUUCCCUUCUCUUUCUUUAUUGAUUGAUUUCCUAGUUUCUUUCAUUAUGGAUUUCUAUCCGAGUUUCUUUCUUUGAGUGGAACUCUCUUUCUCUUUUCUCACCCGCUUCUAUCCUUUCCCUUUCUUUAUGAAGGAAGCCCUUCUUCCCCGGAACAAAGGAAUUUCCCAUAUCAGACAGGUCCCGAAAGCGCGUAGAGAUUGACGGCUAACUGCAAAGAGAAUCAAACCAAUCCUGAUGGCAAUCCAAUAUAAGUUUACUGGCUUGAAAGAGUUAGCCUAAGGCCUUAAGAGAACUACUAUUACUGAUGCCCCGUUCGGCUAAGAGAAGGGUUCUAAGGUUAGGAAGAUUGCCUGGAUUCAGACAGAUUUCUCUGGUAAAUGCCACUGUUCAUUGCCUUCCUAUGUGCAAGCGCUCUUCUACUUCUCAAAUCAAAGGGCCAAGCAACUAAAGGAGAGUGAAUAUGAGUUAUAACCAAGUCCACCAAGCAGACUAGUAGGCAAGUAACUACUCCUAACAUCUUUAGGGUCGAAUACUUCACUUGUGAUCCAACUUUAACAUCAACAUCCGAUUCACUUACAUUAGAUAGAUCUAGGUAACCAAGAAACUCCAUUCUGUGGACCACACCUCGCAUCAAAGCAAGGAAAGUAUUAUUUUGUUAAAGGGCCAAGCAACGGGUUAAGUCUCUAACUACAUAGCUUCAGUCUGCAACUACAUAGCAUCAGACUUGGAUUCACUAGCUCCCGAACACCCGGUUUCGUUCUCACUUUCUUACUUGUUAGCUCUAUUCUGUUACUGACUUGUUGCAUUCUUUGUCUUAGGAGUUUCUCAUUCUGUAACUACCUAGGUCAAUUCUGAGUCUUCUACUGGAUGCGGAGUGGGAAUGGGAGCCUUGUUUCCGGGGUUUAGUGAACGAGUCCUGUGUUCGUGGGAACUAUAUUCAUUCUGUUACUACUUUGUUUCUUUCUUAUAUGUACACUAGUUUGAUUCCGAAAUUCCAACUAGCAACUACUCGGGAUGAAGACUAGAAGUCAAACACCCGACCCGUAAUCUUUUGUUUGAGCACCCGGCUUUAUCAUCUCUAACACCCAGCUACCUGGCAACCGAAACAAUACUUUUCCACUGAGAAAACUCCUAUACUAAUGAGUUAAGUCACUGAACCCUCAAGAUUAUAGGAAGAAAUGCAUUCGUUGACAAGUUUCUUAGUUUCAAUGAGUUUCCCUAUCUACUGAGCUUCCCCGUUCAAUAAAUGAAAUGCAUUUGGAGUGUAUACCCGAUAAUAGCUACUGCCGCGCAACUGACUACUAAGCUUGGCCCUUCCAGUCCUUUCUUACCCUCUUCCUCAAGUUCAUAAAAAAGAGAAAAUACCGAUACUAAUAGAAUGGAAAAAGAAAGAACAGAAGAGAACUAAUAGAACAAAUAGAGAGAAUACCACGAGAGCAGGCAAUUGAGUCGACAACUCACACUCACAACUAGGAGCCAGGCAACUACUGUUCACAGAGCCAGAGCCAUAGAGGGAUAUCUGGUCUGAAACUCCGAGUACAUGGGCAAGUCCUGUGCUGUGUUCGCGGGUCAUAGGGGUUUCAUUCUUAUACUUACUGGUUUCGUUCUUAAUAUCAGGUUUCUGGUCAUAGGUCUAAUUCUAAGAUUGACUUGUUUGAUUCUUUCACUACUGAGUUCAAUUACUAGAUUGGAAGCCUCAGCUACUUAUUAUAUCUGCUCUGAACUUCUGAACUUCAAGUCUGGUUUCGGGUGUUGAAGUGGUUACUCACCUGCAACAUAAGUUUGGCAACCCUGGGUUCAUUCCACUUUCCACUGGACGAAGGUAAGAAAGAGAGGACAUCAAGGCUAGAUUCUCGUAUGCUAAAGAUAGUUUGAUUCGUGCCUUCCAUUGCCCAACACACACCUAUUUGGAUUCGCUUGAGAAGAGCGCAUUCUUUGGAUGCUAAGGGCGGGCCUGGCCCGGGUUAACUAAACGAUCUUCUCUGUUUAUGCUUCAGCGAAUCGACUUCUUCUCGAUGACCACUUGAGUCAGAUUCAUGUGCAGCCUUUCUCUUUUGUUUAUUAUUCUAGAAUAUAAGAUGAUAAGAUGCAUACCCCUUCCUCAUUAACUAUGUAACUUCCUUUAGUUUAGCAGCGGUAGCAUUCAAAGCGGAUUCUUGUACACAAGACAGAGAGAGGAAUUUGAACCCUAUUAACAGAGAGGAAAUGCACCCUAUUAAUAAAGGUCUAUAUAAGGUCGGGCAACUAAGGCAGAGAGAGGCUACUUUAUAACAACCAUGUUAGCAACUGAGCACCUUGAUUUUCGUCUUUCAAACCUUAUGAUAGAAUAGAAUUGCUAAAUCCAACUACGAGUAUCCACCUUUGCUAAAUGAAACUACGAGUAUCCACCCACCUUCUUCCUUAGCCGGUAUCCUACGAUCUCUUGACUAAGUCAUUUCACACGUUGCAUUGCACUGAGAACAUGGGCCCGGUCGGCUAUUAAUAAAGCUAGGCGAGGCCGAACAUCGGAUUCUGAACCUGAAAACGGAAGCUUGCCUUGGUAACCUUUGCACAGUUUGCUUUUCCCCUUGGACAGAUAGCGUUGGGAAGGAGAGAAGGAAUUUGUACCAGAGAGGGGCUCCUAUCUAUAAAUCUAUAAAUACAGGGCAGACGCGCACUGAUAGGCCAGCUCGCCUUCCUUCCUCCACCGACUGGAGACCAGAUUGCUACCAUAUAAAGGAAUGACUAUAGGCACGGAACUUUCUUUUUACCAGAUUCUUUCUUUGCCCCUUGUACUUGCCUGCCCGGCUAGCUCCUAGGUUCAGUCCGAUCCGAAGCCAGAUGCAAGUUUUGAUUUAGCAAUAUCCUUUGCUCGGUUCAUGACGCUAUCCAAGUCAAGCCAGAUUGUAUGGUUCCAGAAGAGAGAAUCCGCUUCGAUCAUCAACGACUACAACAUUUUUAGAGCUAGUGUCUCGGGUCAUCGUUUCGCUUUACCGGGUACCCCAAAAGAAAAGAGUUGUGUUAGCUCUUGGGAAAGACAUUUUAGUCAAAGGCCGGAUAGCCUUGCUCUUUAGUUGAUGGGAAAAACCCGGGCCGGCAAAAAGCGUAGACUUCCAUGAGGAACCCACCUUAGCCACCUACCAUCAGACAGAUAAGAAAGAGACAGGUACGAGUCCAGCAAAACCAGGAUCGGAACUUCGCAAGCCCUCUUCAAUGGCGCUCAUCAAAGUAUGAUUCCUGCUCCAUUCCCCUUUGCACUCGAUUGAGAACCUUUUGAAUGAGAAACUCAAUCCAUCAAUGUGGGGUGGGGUUCAUCAUCAUUUCUUAAGCAAAAACGGCAGGGCAGGAGCUUUCUUCUAGAUCUCAUUCACACGUGAGAGUCAAUGGGUUGGUUUUCGCUCGCCAAGCAAUUACUAGUGUAUAGCGUUAGAACCAGUAGUCAGCCUUGUUCUCGGUAGGCUUUCAGCACCUUAUUUCAAGUUCAAGUCUCAUCCGCAGUAGCUGGUUCUCACCUAGGUUCUAGCAAGUUUCAUUAGGCGCUGUACCAUUCCUUAUUGCAGGACACAGUAUUUCAUUCAGUAGUCGCAGCCUUUUCAUUAGUAGUUUCAGAGUCAAGGUUAGCAGUGGUAGUGUUGGAGUGAGUUAUUGUAGAGGAAGAAGAAGAUGGGAACGCAAGUAAGGAAGUUAGGAAAUAGGUUCGUUCUUUGACUUAUUCAUUUAUACAAGCUAUGGUGCCUAGUUAGGGUAGUGGUCGACCGCUGCUUAUGACACUCAGCUGAUAUAGAAACCUUGCUUUCCAACUGACACUACUUAACUAAAGUCUUCCUUUACAGCUUCUCAUGGCGCUCCCUAUAAUAAAGAAAGACACUAAUACUUAUUAGAAUGAAAAGAGGAGGUCCUAAAGAAGGAUCUAGAUCUGAUCGAGUUCGCCUCCUAAUACAAAUCUAAUGGGUGUUGACGCCCUGAAGUCUGGUUUGCGAGGUUAACUCGGGUACUCGGGUCUCUAGGGCCUACUUUGCCGGUUCUAAAGCCCCUAGGGGACAAGCGCUAUUACCUAUACAUCUAUUCUUUAACACUGGGGGUACGAUCCUUACUCUACUGACGGGAAUACAAAUACCACUAUGCUACUAUAAGGCACCCAACUACGACUAGCAAGAACAAAACUCGGAGCUAAGAGACAAGCAACAGGAAACUAAUAAUGGAACUGGUGCAUACGAGACCCUAACGAAUUACUCUUGACUUGAAACCUACUAAGACGCCUAUGCAGUAGAUCUUUCCUAGCUAGAAAACUCAAACCGAUGUUAACAAGGCUAUAGCUCUUACACUGGGAACAACCCGACCACUAUUGGAUUGAAAACCCUAUCCAUUAGAAUGGAACCUGGGCAUGUGAGAAUGGAACUACUUCUAAUAGGAUUUGAGCUACAACUUUCAAUACCUUAACUUUGAACUGGGAAUUGCACCACUGCUACCAAGACUUACUUCAUUACAUAGGGGCUCCGGCUUUAACUACUGAUUAACUAGCCUGUCUCUCCUUUGUUUUCAUUCCGUAACUACAGGAUUUUUCUCUUUGUUCUUAAACAGGAACCGCUGCUAACGGGGCUCUCGAUCCACUCCCCUAUUCCUACUUCCUUGACUUUCAGUCCAACUCCCCUUGCUCUAAAACGGAAAUGACUUAUUUGUUUUCUUUGCCUCGCCCUUAGGUCUGCCGCUACUGUAUUUCAUUCCACUGCUCCUUGCUUGAAGUCUCUCUAGGCACACAAUUCGCCUGUCCUUGAAUUCACUAUCAUCUGAUAAGACUUAGCUACUGUACGAUUCAAUUAGGCUUAGAAGUAGAGUUCAAUUAGGAUGAAAGGUAGUCAAUGGGGCUACUCAAAAAUAGGAAUAAGAAUCUAGGUGCGUACGAUCCAGUGCAUACAGGGAUGGAGUAACUACCAAUAAGGCUGUAAACUCGGCACACUCGGGCUUAACUAACUAAUAAGCAGAAUCCGGCUACAGCUUCUUUAAACUCGGGCUUUGGCUCCUGCUUCUAAGGCUCUAAACAACUACAGAAGAGAAUGAAAACACUGUAAACAAGAUCGAAACCGCUGCUAACAAGGAUGCCCUGACUGACUUCUAUUUUAGCUACCCUUGCUUUCGUUCUGUAACUAAUAGCUCUGGGCCUUACUUGCUCCCUCGCUUCUGAAAUGGAGUAUAUACCUUACCUAUACUGGAGUUGAUUGAUACCCGCCUAAGGCUACACUAAUACUAAUAUAAUAAUGAAACCACUAAACAGGAACGGAACCACUACGCUACUAAUAAGAGUAAGAGAACAACUAUAACACAAGAAGUUAACUCAUAAGAAAACUACUGUAUAAAGAAAACAACUCAUAAGUAGGUGCUGAAAGCCUAGUGCUUCUAAGAACCAAACGAGGGAUAAUUAACUCAACUACUGCUGAUAGGACUUGCUAUCCGUGUUUUCACUCUGUUACUACUUACUCUGAUUGUUCCAAUCCAAAACACAUCACUCGGUAAUAACUUGAAACUCAAAAUAAGGAAUUGCACUCUGGGUAAUAACUUGAAACUGUAUUUCCGUUAUAUAAAUCUCUGCGCUCUACUCGCCAUUCUUACUGCCCUUUCUCUGAUUCUUUGAUGUGAGCUAUAAGGCUAAUAGCAGGCCCCAAGUAAGCAUACUUAUUACUGAAAUAAUGCAUUUCAACUAGAAGUCUGUCACUACCAACUCCAAAGCUAACAUGCCUAACAACCUUACUACUGAACACUCGGAUUAUUUGAAAACAUGGGUCUGGGCCCUUGCUUUGACUAGGGCGGAAUUCCACUCAGUAGCAGUCCACUCAGUAGUAGUCCACCAAGUAGUAGUCCACAAUUACUUGACUAGCCACCAAGCCUUACUUAUUAGUUAAUUGAACUCGACCCACUAGUAAAGCCCCAUUGCCUCACCCUUAAGUCCGAAACUCCCUGCCAGAAGUCCGUUAUUGACACUAUCCACUAUCAGGAUUACUUGCCUCGAUCUCCUUCUAACCAUCUUGCAACUAAUUCUUUCACUAAGGGGAAAGGAACGAAAACACUGCUAACAAGGAUGCCCCUUACUUCUUUCCCAUCUACUUAGUCUGUCUGCCUUUCCCGCCUUCUACUUACUCCUUUGAAACUUGGAUUUCACCUUUCAGUAUUGAUUUCCUGUCUGAGAGAACUAGGUUAGUUAGAGGCUACAGCAAAGUGUAAGUGGAUAGAUACUGUGCCAGGCCGGGCUAAGGAUAUCUGUCCGCAGAUACUAAUACGGGUGGCAGCCUCAAGGAUUUCACUCGGUAAUAAAAGAAUGAAUAGCGUUGUAUAGGAGCGAUAGAUCUGAACUAAACUCCGUAGUUGUAGGCUUUCAGCACCUGACUUUCUAUAAUGUCUGAGAGGGGCUUACUUCCCCGGCUAUAAAAUACUCCGUAUUAGAAAUACACCUGCGCUAACAAGGCUGUAGCUACUAUUUCGAAUGCUUAACUAAGAACUGGAGCGUGCUUUCCUGGCUAUCGGCCUGUUGCUUCCACUAACAACUAUGACCAUUAUUAUGGAAUCUAACUCAAUAGCAUAGGAAUGAGUGGGCAUAUCCUGGAAUUUACCUAAGUUGCGGGCAACAACUCUAAACUAGGAAAUCAUUGUAGGGAAUCUCAGAAUGGAACUCUAUAUGCGGAAUGAACUCAACAUCUUACUCGGUCUCUGUGCUUUUCAACUUUCACUCAUGACAGUUCGCUUACCCCUCUGAACUAUAUUAUUCUUAUGCUCCUCUCCCACUCUUCAAUUACUAGAAAUCCGAAUUGAACUCGAUGCACUGAUCCUAUGCUUUCACCGGGACGACUCGCGUCCCCACUCUUAUGUUGAAGCCUGUCUCCCCUCGCUUAACUCUGUAGUUCACUUUUCUUAAUCUAUCUAUCCUGGAUUUAAUGCUCUAACUACUGAUUGGAAGGAUGCCCUACCUUAUCUUUCUUCUAAAUAUCCUGGGUGUCGGCCUUAUAUCUCUUUUCAUUAGAAUUGAACCGCUGACAACAAGACUGACUUGACUUCACUAGUAACCGAGCCUUACUACUUAGCUUUCAAACUAACCUCUCCUACUUAUUCGAAUGAAAUCGCUGCUAACGGGCCUUACUCACUAGUAGUUAAAACCCUACUGCUUUCUUUCAUUACUUAUUACUUAGUAUCUCGCUCUUGUCUUUGAUUCUGACUUGACUGUCUACUAGGCUGACUUUCCUUACUUCUGUUCUUUAACGCUGCCCCCCAAGCUCGAUCUCAUCCGUCAAUUACCAUAGACCCUUGCUUUUCUUCUUGUAUUACUGAUAUGGGUCCUUACUUAUCUGCUUGAAUCUUAUAUUACUACUCAAAAGAAUUGGACUAGCGCUCCUCAGACUGAAACAGGAGCAUACACGAUUAGACGCGACUAUAUAGAAACUAACAGCUCUCCCCCGUUCUACUGGAAUCCAACCAAUGACAAUAAGAAAUGAGCGACUUACCUUUUCUUCUUUUCACACCUACAACAUACUUUAGAUCAGUAGUUUUCUACCUGAAUUCUUCUCCUAUCCCUCGUGCUAUAGCCAAGACACUAGUAACAAGACCAAUACUUGUCAACUGAAGACUCAACUAUGGAUGGAAGGAGCCUAGACUCAACUCUCACCCAUACGCAGCACCAUUGGAUCUGAAGUCAACAAAUCAUUCCAAUAAGAAUGAAACAAUAACCGAACAGACAAGCUUAGUAGUUAGUUGCGCGGUUCCUGGUUGCUGGGCCCUUAUUCUUAUUUUGAUAAUUGACUGGAUUUUCUUCCACCGAUGAUCCGGAUCUGUCAACUGCUUAGGCUUGAGCCUAUUCUUCUAUUCUUAUUGAUGAAACUCUACUUUCCACGAGAGAACCUGUCCUGUCCGAAACAAGUGGUUAAAGAAAUCAACCCUUCUUAAUUGACUCUAGUAGUAGCACUGGUAGCAGACUUUAGCCCGGUAGUAGUAGCACUGGUAGCAGACUUCACUUUAUGAGUUUCCCGAGGUGGAGGAGAAAGAGAAGGAUCCGAGGCAGGGACAGGGCAUCCAAGUUAUUGGAAUUACCUGUUUGUUUCUUCUAUCUUCUACAAGUUAUUAGAAUGACCUGUUUGUUUCUUCUAUCUUCUUAUAUAAGAGGAAACUUACUGUGUAGGCUUCGACCGCGGGCAUCUAAACUCACUCGUAUACUCAGCACCGGCAUAUUCCACUCUUUCACUUAGGACAGCUGACCCACUUCUUAUAUUUCUUGCGCCUGCUCCGAGAUACUAUACUGGCACUGCUUCUUAUCGAGUAGACUCACUACUUCCAGCUUCUUCUCCUUUAUUAGCGUUAGUAAGAAAUAGGUUCAAUGACCGGAAAUGGGGCUUUCAUGCCUUUACCUCAAACACUUUAGUAAGGAGUCAGUUUAAGCAAAAGGUAAGCUAUGCUAUGGUCGGUGACCAAUAUCUCUAUCAACCCUGGCACCCGGAGACUUCUUCUGUAAACUCAUCAAGUUAUGGCUCUGGCUCUUUCUCCUAUAUCCGGAUGUAUUAACUCCUAUUCCUCAAAACUCCUAACUCAGGAUGUAGUUAGUAUAUAAUACCUUUACUGGCUUUGAUACCGAAGCUGGAGAAGGAAUAAGGAACCAAAGGAAGGCUUUGAUACAUAAGCUGGAGAAGUCCACCUGUUUUCAUUCACAUAUAGGUUAGCAAAGGAACCCUCUUUUCCUUGGUCAACUACUACUUCUUGAAACAAGCUGCUUUCUAAAUCUACCUAUGGCUAAUAUACCUAUCCUGAGGCUACUUAGGGAAAUUCUGAGUCAUAGAAUUGGUAAUAUGAAUUCAAGGGGCGGCCAAGUCACGUAUACAACCACAUAGCAACACAUAAAUAUGUUCUAACUCGGAUGAGCAAGUCCUAAUCUAGAGCGGCAGCAAAUAACUAGUUAUAGCGGAUUACCAAGUCCUGUUUUCGUUCCUGUGUUCGGUGUCGCGGAGGAGCUUUAAACGGUCUUCGUAGAUGUCUUCGUUGCAGCAAGUCUAGACUUUUCCAUGGCCCUAGCUGGAGGAAUUAGAUAUAGAACCCUGUAGUCUUCUUUAAAGGUAAGGGACUGAAGGAAGUUACGGGUGAAGUCACGAACGCUAUAACAAUGGAUAAGGGGCUUGCUCUAAACUCCAAAGGGUAUUAAAGCUUUGUCAGUGAACAAAGCAGUGAUUCGACGAUCAGUAGGUGUACCGCGGUGGUUUCUCUCUUUUUGUCCUCGAUGAAGGGAUAAGGUCCAGCUUUACUUAUUCCACUUUCUUUAGGAAUGAAAUAAGCAUCUGUUGAUGCGAAAGAAAAAGUCGACGCCUUUAUUUAGCAUUGUCAGAAGGGAAGUGAGCCUUUUCCUAAAGCGUAGGCCCGCAGAUGACUGAACAACCUUCCCUUUCUUGCAUCUCGGACUCAGAGGGCUUUCUUUUGUCGGCUAGUGUUAUAUAUUGAUUAAGGUGCGAAAACGAUUCCUCGCAAACAAACAAAAAAGUAUUGAUUUGAUUUGUCUAAUCCUUCCUGCGUUUAGGGCUUGUUUUACGUCCUACAACAUAAUUCGAUGCCAUCCUCCUCUACUAUUAUCCCGAAGGAGAGAAAGCCUACCAUCUAAAGCAAAGAGAAUCCUCUAAACCGUGACUCCAAGCAGACCUCGACUAAGCUGUACCGCAUGUGGCAAUCCAAUCCAAAUCCAUAGAAUGCCAGUAAAAACAAACAACACACCCUAUUUGUAUUAGCGUGAAAAGGGGUUUGUUUAUUACGGUCGACCACUACUCUAUUUAUAGUUUACAGUUCCAUUGAGCAGUUAAGCGCUUAUGGGGUUCCGCAGUCCGAUACCUUUCCAUUUAGCCACCUCAUGCGCCAAAGUCGGUUGGUCUAUCCUCAACUUACAAUAAGGGCCGGCACUCGUUAAAGCAGUCAGAGUCUAAGCGGACGGCAUAGAGCCAAUACUCUCUUUUUUGUCAUUUGACAUCCCGUACUAAAAGAAAAGCAUAAUAAUGAUAUGCUGGGAUUCCAGUUUCAUAGAUCUUUUCUUUUCCCCAUCUCUUAGAACAAUCUGGUUUUCAUUUACAAUGCCAAAUGGAAGUCAAACGGAUUUUUCUUCCUAAAACUGGUGUGUAUAGAGGAAAUUGUAGGUAGGAAGGACAGGCUUUAUGGGGGUUUUCAGUCUGAAGGAAUCCUAUCUGGAUAAAGACUGUCCAUGGAUUGGAUUCUCCUAGUGGAUUUGGACUAGAAAAGGCACCCUAGAGAAAAGCGGGGGUUGAGAAAAGUGGGAGAGCUAGUUUGAAAGCAGAGAGAUUUUAUUGUGACCAUAAGUAUGACUCUAAGUCCCGUACUGUGGUACAUCGUACCUAUGAGUUUCAGAAUAAGGCAGUAAGACCUAUAGCCAGUAAGGUAAGCCCAAGAUCUAGUAAUAGUAGACUUCCCCGGAUAGUAGACUUCGGGAGGCAAACUAUAGACUUAAAGGAGCAAGCAGGAAUCCGUAUCAGUAGCUAAAGAACCCAAGUAGAUAUGUGAGUUUGAAAUCGACGUAGUUGUAGGACUUAUAGUUAAGAGCGCCAGGCUAUGACAAAGAAGUGGUGGGCUCAUGCGGUGGAGUAAGGAUCGAAGCAAGGGGAUAGCGGUUGAGGCAUAGGAAAUAAAGACGGAGUUCCUAGCUAGGUUCUUCUCACUAGUAGGUUGAUUCCCGAGUUCGACUCUUUGUAUUAGUCGUUUGGUUCUUACUUCAGAGCAGCUGUCCAGUUGGGUAGUAGUUCAUUCCCAGUUAGUUAAGUAAGCUUUAAGCAUUUGCCUACAGCCAUCUAAAGCAGCCCUUGCUUCAAGCUUUUAAGCCGGUACCGCCCUACUGCUAUUAUGUUAUUUCAACCUACGCUCCACAAACAACUAGCCUGCCUUUUUCUCCUAUGAAACUGAAAAUACUACCAGUGAGCCUGCCUCCUAAACAGUGAUAUGCUACCAACGAGAAUUGAGCUAGAAGAAUAGUACGUACGGGCGAGAAGGGGACUGAGACGUCGCCCAAGAAAUAAUAAUGAAAUGUCAGAAAGUCAGAAAACCUACCUAGUGGAGGUACACCUCGGCUAAGUCAACAAAUACAAAUACUAAUAUAUACCAAUAUAAGACUCGAAAAACCACUUAAUCAGAACAAAAACAGAGCUAAAGAACUUUAUUCAUCAAUAGGAAAUCAAAUACUACCUACGAGCCCAACACUCCUUGACCUAAAUCUGACUUAAUGACAUCUAAAUCUGGUUUUCGAGUUAAUGUACAGUAAUGCGGACUUGAAUGAUUUAAUCCCUUGCUUUGAAACUGCAUCCCCACUAGCAUACCCUCAAACAGGACAUAGAGUCACUAAGUUACCUGAGAAACUGGAAGAAUCGUUUGGCACCUACGCAGCCCUUAUCCAGCUAUGAACUUGAAACUGAAAACUCCAACUUGAAGAAUCGUUUGGCACCCGUAAAUUACCCAUCGCUCAAUUACCCAUCGCUGCUGACGCUGCCCUUGCUUUGUCGGGCGGAACUCACUCUCAGGUCUAUCGGGCUUACUUUCCAACUUAGUUGUUAGUUACGGAGAAAACAGCUACUGCAGCCUAUGAUCCUCACUUGCAUGUUACAAACUCAAACUAGCGCUAGUUAGACUAUCUUUACUCACUUCUAUUCUCAGUAUUGUUAUUUUCAAACCGGACUCGGAUCCUUUAAACAAUACCGACAUGAUACCCUACCUAGUUUGGCUAACAAGUAACAACUUUUGUGAGCGUUAGUAAGGGGCAACUGAUCCAGCUCCAUCUGCUGACUUUGGCGCUGACACUGAUACGAAAACGGAUCUUGCUCGCUCCUGCUUCCACUAUGGAUUCUUAAAGAGGAGCUUAUGUAACUACUCCACUAUAAUAUGGAACGGCAUUUCACCAUCUAAUUGCCCCAACAAACGCUUCAUCCAUCUUUCGAGCUUCGAGUCAACCAGUCAUUUCAUCUUUCUCUUAAACCAGAAAACAAUGGACUCCCCUUUCGCACUAAACUAUACUUCCCGCUUCAGAUACAGAUCCCGAUCUUUCCUCAACAGAUUUCAUUGUCCUUGCAAGGGAAGGGCCAAAUCCCAGAAUUUCAUUAAACAGACAUUAUUUAUAUAUAAGUAGUUUGUAACCAAAUAGAUGGGUCAGGUUGUUUCUACUCAACUUCCGCACUAAGAUAUCGGGCGAAAAUCAUUUCAAUAGCUUUCGAUCCACCCGUUACGCAAGGGAACCAGUAUCUGUAUUGCCUGAAGUCAGUUCAGUUCGACUAGUUAUAGUUUUCUCCGUGUUUUGUCUCCGAGAGAACAUGCUGUGUAAUAUACUGCAGUUGGCGAUGAGAAUGAAGCUGCGGUGUCAAAGUCAGCGGUAAGCGAAGGAAGCAGAGAGUAUUAGCCCCGAGCCCGAGCUCACGUGAGAUGGAUGAUAGCUUUUUCUUUCCGUUUAGCAGUGCGCAGUAAAGUCCAGAGAGUUUUUCGCUAUAAUAUGAGGGCAACUAGGAAUUCCAUCUUUCGAGCACAUAUGAUAGAUUCGAGUAAACUACGGGCUUACCUUUUGCUUCAAAACAACAGGGCGCGCAUUUCGUUAUUGUUGCAGGGGUGGGCAUUAGUCUCGGUGCAGUCUUAGGUGACUUCUAUCUAUAUGUUGUGGUAUUUCUAGUUUCGCAGUGUUGUUACUCAAUACUAGAAUAGGUAGGUUUACUUUAUUCCAUUAUUGAGAGAAAGCCAAGGAGAGUGGGAAAGCCCCAAGCAUAUACGAUACAGAAGUUCAAAGAGCUCCCGACAGAGAGUAUCAACCUUCUUAGACAAGGAGCUACAGUGGGACAAUCUGCUAACCUAGACUUUAUAAGCGAACCAUUCAAGUACAUUUUACACCUUGUGAACUUCUACUAAACUCUAAGCUCGCAAAGAAAGAUUCUGAAGUGGAGUUAUGAGUUUUGAGUUCUUGUAUAUAAUGGAAAAGUCAAGACACUGAACUACUGAAUAGAAUCUAGUGCACCACCGCUUUUGGCAAGCAAUAAGUUAAGUACCAUCCAUCCAUAGGGCUCGGCUCUUUAUAGUUCUGCAGAAAUAAUCGAAUAGCAGCUCUGCAGGGCGCUAAAGUCGAGUGGGAGCAGCUGGGCGCUAAAGUCGAGUUAAGCGAGUCAGAGAGUCAAUUGUGUUUUUACCCCAUUCUAUAUAUGUAUUGAAAGAAUACCUUCUUUCUAGUUUGAUUUCGGCGAGAGAUUCCAUUAAUGAUUUGUUUACUCAAGCAAGAAUCGAGAGAUUCCAUUCCAGUCCUGUUUUCUCCUGCGGAAAGACUCUCUGUGACGUGUGGGAAUUAUCAAUAUGGGUUUACAGUCCUAAGUAGUGAUCCAAGCAAACCUUUAGUCUCGGUUAAGCCCAUAACCGACUCUCUCGUAUUCAAUGAAAGGAAUAGCUGCUAGCUGGGCGAUGAAUAAGAUGGGAGAAGAAGGUGUUGGUCAAGUCUAAAAGGUCAGGGGUAAUGUGUUAGCUGCAAAUGACUAUACGGCCAGGCUCAAAGGUCAAAGUCGAGCUAUGUGUUCGUAGCGAAUGACUAUACGGCCGGGCUUGAGGGAAGUGAGUUUACAAUUUCUAUCCCUAUCCAUAUAUGAGAUGCGUGAGAUGAAAUGCAUUUUCUUUGUUUUCCUCUCUCUGCGUGAGAUUCCAUUAAUGAUUUGUUGCGCGGUCAGUGAGCAGCUUUAUUACCUUCCCUCUGCUUUGCGUGCUUAGCCUUACCAUCCCAUCCCUUUGCUUUGCUUUACGAACCAUCCCAUCCCUUUGCUUUGCUUUACGAACCUUUCCAUUCCUUUGCUUUGCUUUACGAACCUUUCCAUUCCUUUCCGAACCCUAGCCUAGACAAGGUGAUUUCUUCGUUUACUUCUAAACUCAAUAUUCCUGUUUGCGAGAGGAGAUCUUAACUCCUACUGGAUGAUAUGCGCAUAAGAUAGAUUCAAGAUAUAAAUGGUUUCCCGUUUUUGGUAUUCAUGGCGGUAGGAGCAACAUUGUGCCCUUUAGUAAUUGGCUUAAGUUAGUUAGAAAACAUUUCCAUUGUCAACUCAAUUGUAAACAAACUUCUAAAGUCUGUAAGUGCUUCAACUUAAGGCCCAGUUAAUUACCUCUUUUUAGACUCAAAACUCUUAUUUCUUUCCACUCUACUUUCUGAACGAACAGAAACGUAAUGGAAUUGCACUGAACUAGCACCGAACCUCCUUUCUUAUUCAAUGAAACUACAAGGAGCGGCGAGCGAGACAAGAAGUAUACCUCGAUUAUGGUCUUCCUUAGCGUCCAGUCCAGCAGCUGCUUUUCCUAUCACUUAGCUCCUGUAGCAUGAUCUUGAAAUAUAGUGAGUUCCUGUUCUUUACCGCGUAGGCUACUCCGGCUACUAAAACCAUAGGUCAGUAGAUAAGAAAGAACAUAGGCAUAUACGUUAAACGAUGCAAAAAGAUGGGGUGAAAGCAAAGCCUGAAACUCGAUAUUCUCAGGGUUCUUCAGCGCUAACGGGAGCUCUGCACUCAAAAGAGUUAUCAGAGAGAGAGAAAGGAUUAUCCGCUUGACUUGACGGCGCUGCACUGCUGUUCAAUUAAUUCCUUAGAGUUGAGUUCACCAUUGUGUGUUAGCCAUAGUAAGUAUAAGAAAAAGAACUGUUACUAAAUUGGAAAGCCAUUGCGCGCACUAGCCAUUUGUGUUUGAGUUCGCCGUUCUUCAUAUUAUUGCAGUAAGGAGUGAGCGGGCAGCUCCGGAUUCUCCUCUUGGAAUUUCAUCUAUCUCUGUUCUUGUUGCACUUGUUUUUGUUUAUUCCCUCGCGCUAAUGCUUAUAUUAGUAUUCGGGCGGAAGCCGUUACUUGUUCUUGUGCCUGCAACCUCGCAGAAACUAACUACUUACUAUCGGGGCUUGUUUACUUAGAAUAUUCGGGGCUUAGUUUACUUAGAAUAUAGAAAUUAUUGACUAGUUGCAUUGCUUCCAAACUCCACUCAUAUAGGAAACCCGGAAAGACUAACUCACGCACCCUGUCACUAAAAAGUGCUCUAUGGGCUUGCUUGCCUUUUGCUUGAAAACGAAGUUAUUUGAAUUGAGUCUACCGAGCACAUGAUAAAGGAAAGUAACAAAACACUGAUUACUGCUCACUCCUGACUUUCUAGGAACCCUCAGCCUAUGCCUUACCUGUACCAGUACAAGAAUCAAGCUUCCCCCUAAGCCUAUGCCUUACCUUAAGCUUAAUGCGGCGUAGCUCGCUUAUGCUCCAAGUAGUUUCAUGGAGUCGCUUUUGCCGUUGCUGUUUGUUCUGUUGCGACUUAAUAUUGAGACUCUAAAGAAGAUUAUUAAUGUACCUCCUAUAAAGAAUAUUUUGAGUGUACCUAAGUUGACCUCUUUCUUAUGUAAGUGCAUAACAACACUGCUUGCUUCCUUCUCAUAACAACACUGCUUGCUUCCUUCUAAACUCACUGCUCACCUAUUACUGCUGGCUCAAGGCACCCCGAAAGGAAGCUCACAUUAUGACCCUAAAAGUAAGCUAAUGCACUACGGGCUUGUUCCGGCGAACUCCCUUAAGCAAAAGGCCUCUCUUCUAUGUUUCUGUCCUUGUCCUUCUUCACAGCACCCAGCUAGCAAACGAUUAGCAGCUUCAAAGAGAACUCACUCCUAUCCUACGGCACAAGGCAACAAACAACAAGAAGUUAACCUACCGCACUAUGGUGAACUCAACUCACUAAGCACAACGGCGAAAUCAUUGAAUAUAAGUGCACAUAAUCAGAAAGAAUAGAUGAAAAACGGAGCUUACUGUACUCUUAGAUGAAAACGUAGCUUACUUGACUCUAAAGAAUCUCAUAUAAUGUGCAAAAGAAUAUCAUAUUGUGCACAACUUACUUAUAUAAAAGAAGCACAGUCAACUUACUGCUAUUUAUGAGAUUUCUAUAUGGCAUUUCCUCAAUCCACUUAUUCCUAAAUGAAGUCACACAUCUUUUAAAAUACACAUAACCCACACUGGUGACUUAUUCUAUUAAGAACUCAUAUAGGGGGUCGGUUACUAAGUAUAAGUGUGGAUUCGCUAUGUUUGUUAUUUAGGGGCUCCCUACAGUAACACGGGCAGCGAAUUUGCGGAUGAGAACAGCAAACGAGGUCGACAAAGGUUUCCCUAACAACACUCCAAAUACGUUUCAGAUCUGGUGAGCAAAGAGCGUCUUACAAGUCAAAGGUUCCUGCACCAUAUUCUAUGGAAAAGCCAAUUAUCAUGUAAGAAACACAUAUUUUGCCUAAACUUGUAUACUAUGUGCAUCAGAUAGCCUAAACUUGAUGAUUCUAGAGGUCGUCUACCGAUUGAUAUCUGCAAAGGUCCCUCUAUCUGUCGAUCGCUGUAUAGGAGUGAUUCCUCUUCCUUCUGGUAUCAUGAAUGGAAGUUUCGCCGAGCCCUAUUUGUUUGCGGCUGCCCACGGACUAAAAGAAUCGACUGCUGGUCGCAAGAUAUCAUUACCUUGUGCUUUCCCGUGGUGCCCGGUCCAUCAUAUGCUAUGGGCCUUAUUAGGCUGCUGCACCAGUUGUUAACGUUGCUGCUGCAAUAGAAAUAGCGCCUGUCGCGGCCUUCCUGUUCGCUGUUUUAGUUCUACCCAUACAAAGGAGACAGAUUAGCCAUACUAGUAUUCUUUCUUGUCUCGGUGUUAGUAUCACUCCCUAUUCUAUGUAAAGGAAACAGUCUGACUUCGGGAGCUCUUGAACAACAUAGUUUCUCAAAUAGGGGAAAUCCGGAUUUUACGCUAUGAUCCAUUUUGAUAGUUAUUCAAAUGUUCAUAAAAUAGAAAGUGGAUUUCAAGCUCCACUGUCCCCUUUUUGUCCGCCCUCUUAACCCCUUCAUUCUUUGAGCCCCCUCCACUAAGGAGCAAAACGAAAACCCAUUAUGCACCGAUACCUACUACUAACCUAUUUCUAUGUGAUGUGAAUUACCUACGGAAUUACCUACUACUAACCUAUUUCUAUGUGAAUGGAAGAGUAGAGCUCUGAAGAUGCCGAGAAUCUGGUCUUUCUUGGUUGUUGCUCCAGUAAAGAGCAUUAGCUGUUCUCUUAUCCAUGCUGUUGAAGGAGCGGUCUUAGAACAAUCCACUUCUAUUCGAAUUACUUUGAGGCAGGACUACAAUAAUGACUUGGUUACUUGGAGGCGGGACUACUAUAAACUGGAAGUGCCGCUUAGUCCAAUUCUUUGGAAGUUUAGUGUAUCAUAAGCUAUUUCAUAUUUCAGUAGGCCAAGCUACGUAUAAUGACCAAACAAUACUGGAUCUGAAACUCCGAAUACUUAUUACAAUUCCGGUUUUUGUUAGGCUUUACUGGUUAAUUCGGUGCUUGUUGGUUAAGGUUCAAGUCAGAGGUCAGCUACAAGUGGAAAAGCAAGUUUAGAGCCAACAGUAAGCAGUGAACAAGCAAUCUUCAUGACUAAGAGAUUUUGGAAGGAUAGCUAUGUCUACUUCAGUAUGAGGGAAUGGCUUUGAUGCGCGAUGUACGUGAGUGGAGUCUCUUUCUGAUCGACAUAACUCACUGACGCCAAUGAAUUAAGGGCACAGGACUUGUAGUUACUUGUAUAGUAGUUACUAGUUGGGUUUACAGCCUUACCUUCCACUGAAUGCUUGGACUGGACCACUACAAGGGCAAAGGGAAAGCAAAGCACUACUCGUAAAGCACGCAACGGGGAAAGCCAACCCUCUCUUGGAAAACGGAACGAGCACCCACACUAAGCAAAGAAAGAGACUCGCUCUACUUCAGGAAGGAAUAUGCCACGCGCGCAUUAUGUUGUUGGGUGUUUUGUUACUCCUUUAUAUAUAGAAUGCAUAAGUGAACCUCUCUUUAGAAGAUAGCUAGUCAGGAAUUAUACUUUAUUAAAAGAAUUUAGUAGUAACGAGUGAGACUUGAAGAUAGCCAAUAACGAGUUAGACUUGAAGAAAAGAGUUGAGACACCCGCUAAAGUAAGCUAACCGACCUAAAGAGUAAGCUAACGCGCCCGAAAGUUGCUUGUUCGUAGCUUGUUCCGUAGAAUCUUUGCACUGUUCCUAGGUGCUUAUAAAUUGCAUUCUAUGGAGAACAUGCCAGAGCAAUAAGAUAGUACGCGCAAUAAUCUAGGGCAAGAAUCAAAGUACAGGCUUUGGAAGCUAUAAGUACUGAAGUAUGUAGAGUAUGCAAGGGAAGCAAUUCCAGUUCUUGGCUUAGAAAGAGAGAGAUUCCAUUAAGUAAGCAAGCAGUUCAGUGAGGGAAUAAACUAACAUUCUAUAAGAAGAAAUGACCUCCCUUAGGGCGUAGAGUCUAUGAGAGAGUUGAUUGUGCUUGUGUCUAAGGGCGAGUGUUGGUGCUUACGCUCUCAGUCUUGUUUGUUUCUUUGAGUGCUCCGUUUGUAUCAAUGUGUUUCAAGUCAUAGGAUAAGGGUUAACUCACUAACGCGUAACUAUUAACUUGUUCCUUCGCCCGCCACCCGGAUACAAAGUCUGCAAGCGGUUCAAUUCCAAAGAGAUGCAGUAUCUUUACUUAGUUCUAUACUUUACUUGGUGCUCGAUACGAAAGAAUCCAUUCUCAUUCCUGAGUUGGCGCUGGAAAUAUUAUAAGUUGGUCAGAUUCCUAAGAUAGAUUUACAGUGGGUUCAAUUCCAUUCAUACUUUAGAGUUGGAGACGGGUUUCAUUCCUUAUUUCUAGUUUAGAGCGCAUGGUGGGUAACCUUUUUCUAUCUUACUUGGGUGUCCGGUGCCCAUCCAUAUAUAGCUGACUUUCUUCCAGUAUAGCUGACUUUCGAGCGAACCGAACUCACAUUCUCUUUAACAAGACGUUUCGCAAGAGCAAGCCCCGAAACAAUAACAAUGAUAGCGGUAUCGGUGACUCCGCCUCCCGAUGCUAAAUCUGCCCUCUAGCCUUUACUUGACUUUGAAAUAAGCCUUCUUGCCCUUCACCUGAACGAAGAGUUCGUUUCUAAGGAUAGGCACUGCCACAGCAUCAACAGGUACAAGGAAUAGGCACAAUAGGGAAGAGCAAUCAAUCUCCAUCUCUACUAAAAGCAUUGCCGAGAAAAAACCCAAUAAGAUAGACCGCUGUCGAUCGAAGAAAAGUGUUUUAUAGCCAUGACCCGCCCCCUCGAUUCGGCAAAAAGAAUAGGUGUUAUGGAAGAGUCUUUUAGUCGGCUUUCCCCUUCUUGAGCACUUUAGGGCCGGUAGGCUUUAUAGCUGAUCUGCCUCCCUGACAAUACUGAUAUGAAAUGGAUAGUUGCGCUUGCUUUGAACUUCGAAAGUAAGUCUACGCCCACUAGUAGAUAGAAGUAAGGCAUAUUCCCUAGAUAGAAGUAAGGCAUAUUCCCGAAACUAGAUGAAACUUGUUUUUGUCUCCGGCAAUUCACCUAUUCAUGAGCUAUCGUGGUUAUUUGCCUAUCUCGCACACCACUCGAAGCCUUCGUAAACUAAUUUCGGGUUGGUUCCAUCGUAGUUACGGUUGCAGUGAGGAGAGAAAAGUUCCAGUUAAGAUUACAGGAAGUGAUCGGGAAAUAAGAAAGACAACAACAAUGCAUUUAUUUCCAACACUCUGCACAGAGGCAGAAGAAUAGUUGUUCAUCCCCAACAACUGCCUUUAAAUCCACAUCACGAAAUUGAGGCUUUCUAUACUGCUAUAGGAGUCAUCAAAGAAGGAAUGGGCAUAGGCAGCAAUGAUAAGCCAAGGAAAAAGCCUUUUCUAAGUAAAGUAAAGUAAGCAGGAUUGCUCAAAAUGAAUGGCACUCUCUCUUUGGGAAGCACUAUUCUAGCAUUAUUUCGAAUCCUUUAAGUAGAUGUGUAUAUUAUCUGAUUCUUCUUAUUACUAUAAGAGCGAUGCUGCUGCUAUUUGUCAGUCAGUUGAAAGCUCACCAGAGUAAGCACAUGAGGGAUUGGGGAGAAUUUCAUGACUUUCCUGUGAAGAAGCCAGAUAAAGAAAAGUAUCGUUUUCAAAAACAAAGGAAAUAUGGAACUGAUUCUCUUGAUGAGACAGGAAGCCCACGGAGCGGUCCUCAACCUAUUGAUACGCAAAAGAAAGAAAAAGUGUUAGUAAAGAUGUAAGGAGCUGAAAGCCUGACCCAAAACUAGGAGAGAUAGUUAUAUUGAAAGCAGAGAUACUGUUCGAGUGUUAAAGAAGGCAGGCUCAUGCAAACAAGUAAGAAUCAAAGACAUGAAUUGUAGAAUUAGAUAAAGCAGUGUAAGGUUUAGACACGGGACGGGAGUAACAGGGCAGGAAGCAAGGUUCAUAGUAAGUAAUGCCUUAUUUGAUAUAGGUUUUGGUAGGCAUUGAGUUCGUGUAGUGCCCUAUUAUAAGAUAUAAAGUCUUAGAAGACACUAGACAAGUCCCGAGAAGCGCUAGUUAAAGCAUGAGAGCAAGCAAGGGGACAUAGACCUUAUAGGCGGGAGUUUUUGUUUGAUAGUUAUCAUUAAAAGAAUCAUAGGCGAACUCCAGUAAUUAGAUCAUUCAUUAGUUAAAGCAUGGCGAAUAAGGGAACUUAGGCUUAAUAAAGGCCGUUGAUUAGGUAGUUACCCGGAGAAGCAAUAAAGUCCGACCUUGUGGGAGGAGUUGCAGUCUCAUCAUUAGGUCUCGGUUCCAUUCUCAUCAUGUUAGUUGGUUUCCUUGUUUCGAGUCAAAGCCUUGCUAGUUGGAUUUUCUUUCCUAUUUGUUAGGAUGGUUCCCAGUUCCGGGUUGAGUCUAUCAGGUAGUGCCCAAUUUCUGAUUAGUAAAGAUAUCAAAGAUCCCGGUCAGUAGUCCUAGAAUAAAAGACAGAUCAGAAAGAAUAAGAUUGAGUCGAAUAAGAGUCAAGGUGCGGAAAGGUAGUUUACAGUGAGCAUAAAACGAACCUUGCAACAGAAAUCCAGGUGCUGACAGGACUUACAUUUGGAUAAAACCCCGGGAAUUGGAAUAGAAAAUAGAUCCACCCCUUUCCAAACUCUUACUGCCAUCUCUGCUUCUGAGCUAGAGCCCACCGCUCCUUUAUAUAGUCCUGUAGUUCGCUCUUCAAACAAUAACUCUGGUCUAUCGGGCUUACUUGCUCGCUCUCGUCGAUAGAUAGUAUAGCUAAAGUGAGUUUGCCCAUAGAAUAGCUCCGUUUGGUGGGGACAGUGUUCGAGUCUGUUUCACGCAGUUCCACUCUCGCUGGGCACUAGUGCAGUUUGAUAAGCGCCAGUUUCUUUUAUAGUUCAUAGUUAAGAGCUCAAUCCCGUGUUUCCAUAUUGUUUUGCCCUAAUUCGAUUCUGGCUUAUGGGAACCAAUUCUUCUAUUACUGAGCUUUGGGGCCUAUUACCUAUUAUUCUCUUGCUUAGUUGUUUGUCUGCUUGUCUCCUCUGAUCCGUCAACAAACACUGACGCCGAAGACAGCACGUAGUCCCGUAGAUUAAUUGAUUCUUCUUAUGCCCUUACUGAACCUAGCAUUCCAUCCAAUUAAAACAGUAGGAUACGAUGAAGAAGCAGCCAGCUAGUGCCCACACGAUCAGAGUUGUGCCACACGAUCAGAGUUUCACUCAUGAGUAUGUUUACUCCCCGGAAGGAACCCCGAGCGUACGAGAAUGUAAGGACCAAGUAUCAGACUAAGUAAGAAGGUACACCACACACCAGGGGAAUGAAACAAAGAAUACCGAAUGAAUAAUACAGAGGAGGAACCGUUAGAAUGUCGACAAAGAAGUGAGAAUUUGGACCUAUAAGUAGAAUUAGUGAUGUUGCUCACAGAAUGAGUUGUGUUGAUUAGAGAAUGCGUCUCCCUGGUCGAUGUCCAAGACCCCCGAAGACUUAGUUGUGUGACUUUCAGAGUGGGUUCAUGGUAUAGGAGGUUCGUUCAAGCUUCUAGACUUCAAUCAAUCCCUGUGUUCCUCCUGUGCGAUCCUAUGUUCGUUCCUGCGCUCGCUAGUGAUCUCUCUUAUUAUUUGACUGUAAAGCUAGGUGUAGUAAGUUAGUUUGACUUAGUAUAUUCGCUUGGGUAGUUAGCAGUGGGGCGAGCUUCCAUACUUUUAGGUAGGAAAGGCGGACUACAACUAUAGAUUGAAAGAAGCAAGUCCGAGAAUGGAAACAAGGGAAUGGUAGGUUGAAAGCAGAGAUACAUAAUGAAGUGUCAAAGGGGGCAGGCCAGAUCUCGAACUAAAGAAUGCAAAUAAGUAGGAACUCACUACCGCGGAAUACAGGAAUGAAAUUAGGACUUGGGGGAAUCACCCAUUAUUUCUAAAGUACAGCUGUUGUGUUGUUGGCUCUAAUUCAAUGCGCCAAGUAACACCCGUUAUGCGGCAGGUUUGCUACACUCGUCGGGUUUUGCUUCAAAAAGAAAAAAGCAAUUGAUCGUGCGGUGCGUGAGGGCAGCAUAGCAUGUCUCUCAUUAUUCUCAUUAUUAUAGAAGUAUCACUCAAUCAUAUCAUAUGGAUUUUCGUAACUCAUUCAGUUAGGGACCGUGCAUUCAGUCAUUCUGCGUUCGCUCGUGCACCAACUCAUUCUUCGGUUGGUUGGUCGGUGGUGCGUAGAAGGUCCCACACCAUACCCCAUGCAUAGAAGGUUAGAGGAAAGAUCCAGUUUCUAUAUUACAAAUCAGAAGAAAAGUCAGGAAUGGAAGACUGACCUCGUACCCUAGCAAGCCAGACUAGACAUUGAUAUAUUGGCAUAAUAUCUUAUAAUAUAGUAAGGCAUUGAAGAACAAAAGCAAGUCAAGUAAUACCAAUGGUUCCGGGAGGGCAGACCUAUAAGUGAAAUACAGAAUGCGAGCGAGGUUAGUCAGAGUUAGAGACAGGCUAAGAUCAUAGUGAAAGUAGCCAGAGGCCCGGAGAAAGUAGCGAAGGCUGGGUUUGUGGGUAAAGUAUUAGAGUGAACUAUUGCAUUCCUGCUAGCAGUAGCUCCGUUCCGAGUUUAUAGAUCCAUUCUCUUAGUGAGUAGUUGAAUUACCUGUCUUAGAGCUAAGUCUCAAAAGCGCCAGUUCGCUUCUCUCUUUACUAGCUCAAUAACCUGUUUUGAGUUUUAUGCCUCGAUUCCUCAUUCUUAGCUUCUUUUGAAAGUCUUUCUUUUGCUAGUUGAGUUCUUUAGUUCAUAGUUCCAUUCCUAUGCUCUUGUUGCAGCCCUGCCCUUGUACUUGUAGAGUUGAAGCCACCAAGCGUAUACUAAUGACCGCCUACUACUAUAAACCCCCUGAAAGUAGAGUUCCAGAUUCCAGUAUAGUUUCGGGUGUUAAAGUAUAAGGAGAUGAUUGUGUUGCUCAAGUCCUUUGUUCGACCGGCUUUGAAGCACGGUAUCUUCCUUCCUGCUUUAGGAGAAUUUCUUUGUGUGCCAGUGUUGUAUCUUGGUGUUGGCUCUUACUGGGCGAGAUCGAUCUACUUGUUAUUUCACCGUUCCCUUCCCUUUAGCUGAGUCAACCUUUUCUGGAAUCCUUCGAGUCGAGCGCAUGUCAUAUAACCCUAGGAUAAUAGCAAGUCAAGUGUUCGGGUGUUCGAGAGCAGAGAGAAGGAAGGUGUCUCUUUCGAAAGCAAUGGAAAGGCUAACAAAACUCGCUAACAAACAAGGACAAGGAAAUCAAUAAUAAUCCUAAGAAUAAGUGUAUAGAACAAGAAACAACGGCUAAGCUAUAAGAAAGAUAAGAGGGAUGAGUUUCUUUUCCGAAGAUCUUCUGCGCACUAAAUUCCUGUUUGCCCCAUAUAGUAAUUCGAUGGCCCAAACUCCAAUUCGAAGUAAAGGUAAUAUAAAAGAAUGAAAGUCAAGGCUGGGAAGCAGCAAGCGAUAAGUCAGCAUAAGAAUUGCCCGUUGGGUAGGUUAAGUCUAAUCUGUAGUGAAAGUUGAAAGCCACGGCUUCUGUACUGUACAAGAAUCCAGAAUCAACGUAAUACUCUCAGGUCUAACAAGCUACUCCACGAAACUACUUUGAGCGUAAGCCAGCUACAGGAGCAAGCCCAGCAUUAAGGUCAAGGCUUCAAAAAGAUAAGGCUGAUUUCGAGUCAUAUGAUGAAAGUGGAAUAGAAAGCCAAUGGAACCGCUCAAUUCUCUUCUCAUUACUUUUUCCGGGGUGAGCGCCUAUGAUCUGAGUUUUGCAUCUGCAGUAAGGAGUGAAGAGCUAGUGCUGUCUUCAUUGUCAUUGGCUAACGCGAAUUCCGGGUGCCUAGAUUCUAUUCCUGAGUUUCGGUAUCGGGAUGCGCUAGCUGAGUUCAACAAGUAAGCAGGCUCUCGAUCCGCAUUGAUGGGCCGUGUGUGUGAGUUAGAUUCUUUGAUGGGCACUACUAUAUGAAUUGCUUACCUUCUAGCGAUUGACUGCUUCUAUCAACUCACUAACGUAUGAAUAAGAAACUAGCCCUAUAGCCAACUAUUCAUAGGCUGAAUAGAGGAUGCAGUUUGUUUACAUAUAUUUCUAAGAGUAUGCUGUUUGUUUACAUAUAUUUCUAUCAUAUAAGGUGAAUAUUUAUUUGAUUCAAUUAAGAAAGGGUACGAAAGAAGGGAAAGAAGGCAACUCGGGGUGCGAAAGAAGCUCUGCGUCGGUAAAGGUAAAGUAUCAAGUUAGCGUUAGCUAGAAAGAAAUUCAAUCUGGCUUGACUGCUUCCUUUAGUUCAGGGUAGAUAAGAUGGCAUUCAAGCAGGGGAAAACUAGAUCAGCUGAAGUCAGAGUGGAGGUUUAGGUGGGGUCUCGUUUAUAAGUCUAGGUGGAGUUCGGCCAAAUCAAAUAAAACAAAGCAGUGUGUUUCUUUACUCGCAAUUAAUAAGUUAGCAAGUUCCUUUUUUGGCGGUAGUUUGUUUUCUGGCUUUAAGAAUGAAGGAGGGCUGCGCAGGUUAACACGACUAUAAUCUUGAUGCAACAAAUGCUAUGGUUCCUCAGAUGUAAUUAUACUAAUGAAUCUAUAAAUGGUGCAGGGUCGGUCAUGUAUUUCAGCAAGAGCAAAGCAUAACGGAAGUCUCGCCUAAAGCUAAAGACAGUUUGUUGGAUCUAGAAAGGUAUAUUCGAAUUCCAAGAUAAUGCCCCGCAUAUGCUAUUCUGAAUUUGAUUGGAAAAAGCUCAACCACCAAGCAAGCUCUGGGGCAAGAAACUAGGCUAGGCUAGUAGCGCGGCAGUGGAGCUAGGAGUGACAUAAAGUCUGGUGUUGGCUCUGGAUCCGGUAAGGUAAAGCAAAAAGAGUCAAGUCUAGAUUGGGUGCAACUUUCUAUUAUAUUGGCUUUCCCGAGCUUCACUAUAUGUUGAUGUUGAUGUUGUUGAACUAAUGAAAACACACCUCUAUAACUAAACAGAAGGCAGCCUUUACUUGGAAAGAAGCCCUCUUCUGCGCUCCAUAGAUUCAAUUAAAGAUUAGUUGACUUCACUGAAGGUCACCGAGAUCAUAUAGAAUUCUUUCAUAAGAGAGUAAUAGAUAAGAUAUAUUCUUCCAUUUCUCCCCAGCAGGGAAAUCAUCGAAGUAAAGAAGGCCUUCCGAUAUAGAUAUCUGAUCCAUAAGCUAGCUCUUGGUUCCAAAAAUCCUUAAUAUGUUCGUUCAGUACUCCAAUCUAUGUGCAGUAAACGAACUUCUAUUCUCUUUCCUCCCCUCCUCCAUUCUAGAGUUCUCCCCUUACAUAAAAGGUGGGUAAGAAAGCUUCUACCCGGGGGAGCUGUGGUAUCAUCAAAAAAGUCCAUGUGAGCCUGAAUCCGCGCAUACGAAGAAAGAAGAAAAUGUUUUUAAAAGACCGAAGGCUUAACUCCAGUUUUGUCUACUUUCAAUCUGGGAAGAGCGAAGCUCGGCUUGUAGCUUUCUUCACCAGUUCCCAGAGCCUCUUAUCUUCCAUCUUUUCGGGUUGGCUUUUCUUCUUUCCCCAAAGAAAUAGACUGUGGCCAAUUACUUAUCCUCCUUCUGAGCCUUAGCCAUUAGUAAGGCGGAGUAGCCAAAUAAAAGCAAAUGUCCCUCUCCUCAAAGGAAGUCAUAUGCUCUUUUAUUAAGUGUGCUGUCUUCUCUUCAAUACCCAUCCUCCCGAAAAGACAUUUAUGUGCUGCGUCAAUGAAUUUCCCCCUUUGGACUUUGGCAGCCUCUGAUGAUGAUCUAGUUCGGCUUCUUGGCUUUCACGUCCGAAGCAAGGAAUCCCAUCUUUGGAAAUCCUUGUAAGCCUUGCAUAGACAGACGUAGAUAUCGUAUGACUGAGGUCUUGGCUCGCCGUCAAGAGUGGCCUUUUCUGCUUUGCUUAGUGGGCAUAUGCUGCUAGGGGAUAUUAAGCGAUAAGAGGAAUAUUAAGCAUCUGACUUCGCUUCCUCUUCUUCUCGUGUGGAUGGCACUUCUUCUUUUACUGGAGCAUCUGGAUAACCUUGAUUCCGUUUUUGGGGUAGAGCUAGUCUGGCGAAUCUUUAUUAUGAGUUCGGGUCUGGCCAGAUUCGGACUUUCUCUGCCUUCUAUUCUUCUGGUUUGGAUUUGAGUUCACUCCACGGCUAUUUGAUUUGCUUCAGCUUGGAGAAGAUGCCCAGUUUGGCUCCUUUCUUUUUAUCGAACCAGAUUGAUAGAGUUCAUAGGGAUUUGAGAUAACCUCCAUAUUUCCUGUUUAGGGGGCUUCCUUCACUUCCCCAUAGUAUUCCUGAGUUUACGGUAACUCCUCAGAAAGUGGGCGCGACAUAGAUCUUGUAGCAGAAGGAGGGCUUCCUUCGAGAUUGGACUAAACGCAACUCCAUUUCAUCGACGAAACUCCCUAUAUGUUAUCUGAAGUAUAUAUAUGUUAUUAUCUUAAGUAUAAGAGCAAUAACUUUGAGGUAAAAGACCCUAACUCGAACUCAGUAGGAAGCCAAGCACGCACGAAAGAAGCUUCCCGAGCUGCAGCCUUUCACUUAUUCCUUGGGGGGCACAUUAGAAUGCUCGGAUGCUUGUAUAGGGGAAUUCCCUUCCAUUCUAUUUCGUGAGAUUAGACGGGAUGGAUGAAUGCGAGUUCAUGAAAGGCACUAGGUUAGGGUUGGCUCAACGGUGGAAGACACUACCUUGAAUUCGCUCUUUUCCUCUUUCUUUUUCACAAGCAUGAGUCGGACUUAUAGUCUUGGGAGAGUCUCCCCACUAAGCAAAGAAGGAGGACCGAGUGCAGGAAGAAUCGACCGAAGUCAGAGAAAAAGUGAGCCCGUCUUCCAGGGACGAUGAAUUCAUAAUAGAAUAUACUUAUUUUCACGUAGGUCAGGGGACAAAAGCUUGACUUUCUUUUAUUGGCAUUGAAAUUGAUGCAUCUAGCCUUCCGUCUAUGCGUCUGAUGUCGGAAAUGUGGAACCCGCGAUUGGAAGAUCUGACUGUAACACGAUAACCCCCUGAUACUUAUACUUUAACUCGAAACUCCCUUCAGUAAGCGCACUUAGUCUAGUUGGGGCAGUUUAGUCUUCAGGAACCAAAACAGACACAUCAUUUACUCGAACAGAUCCUGCUGCUGACAAUAGAACGGACUCUGUCUCCUUCCCUUUAGCACUUGUUCUUGUUGGGCCGAGACACCUGGACCUGAAGAUUCAUUAUAUGCAGCUCUUGCCUCUGAUCCAGAUCCAUCUUCGGCUUCGGCAACUGAUCUUGUAGACAAUACUCGAACAGUUUCUUAUCUAAUUGAAUUACCUGCGGAAAAUCCUCCUUAUGGAACAAUACUAUCAUAUGGAACUAUACAGGAAAUGGCAGCUUCCUUUUGAACAGCUGAUGAUCUUGGGGCGCUAGAAAACUUGACAGGACAAUAUGGCAAUUAUAUACUUCACCUCACUAAAGAAGGAAUUGGUUCUUACCCUCAAAGAAAAAGAUCGCGAUCAGGAACAGGAACAAGAGCAGAAGCAAAAGAUGGAUCAUUAGAUGCUGGAUAAAGUUCCGUAUAAUCAUCUUCUAAGGUGGAGCCCAUAUAUAGAAUCACUUGGUAAUCUUUAGCAGGAGCAGUCAAGUAUCUCGGUGUAGCGGUGUUUGGAAGAAGAAAGUCAAGGCUGGCGAGCGCUAGGUGAAUGAGUUCAGUCUAUUUCUUUGUGUACAGGUACGAGUGAAGUCUAGGUUAAGGUGCAAUUCGUAGUUUCAAGUGUAAGCAGAACAAACAAGGUCGAUGUUGGGCUUACGCUUAACGUAUAUAGUCAAGGUGCUGAAAGCCUCCCUCUUUUUGUUACGUGGAACAGUAAUAGGUGUGUUGUUACAAUCUUCCAUAAUAGAAUGACAAUCUUAUAUAUAAUAGAAUAAUGGGCAAUUCAAUAAGCAAGUAUAAGCUGGUGCCAACAUUCUAUUCUUUUGCACUCACAUUCUUAAAGCAACAAACUCGACUAACGCGCGUAUAAGGACAAAGAAAGGUGCCUUUAUUCAACAAGCAACAGAACCUAGACUAAACAAGCUAAUUCAGAGAGACUCCACUUCAAUGAAAGUACACACAGCGCUGAGGAAGGACAGAAACGGAAAGGCUGGAAGCACCUUAUACUCAUAACGGAGCUCACUUAAUCAAAGGCUUUAUCAAUAAGCUAGGGUGCCGUUGGUUUUCAAUCAAUUCCAUAUAUUGUGCUAAGGUGGAUUCAUUUCUUUCUUUUGCAGUUGUGACAGUGAGUUUCGGAGUCAGGUACCAGCUACUAAAUAAGGACACAGAGGCUUAGUAUAGUAUAGAUUAUCUUAUCUUUCUUUCGAGUUGUGCAGGGUACGUUAGCGAGUGAAGUUCACCAUUGUGUGUUAGGUGCAUUAGUGAGUUAGCUAGAACAAGACAAAAGUGGUUUAGUCAAAUACUCCAUUUAUAUCAUAUGCUCGAUAGUAUACUCGAUAGAUUCUUUGAGCAGAAUUCCUAACUAACGUACAACUCUAAAACAACUCCCCCGUUAGCAAAAUCUACGCUAAUAAGUACAUUGGUAUAGCCCACAUAACCAUUAAAUGAAAUAGAAAGUCACCUGCCCGCUCACGUUAAGCGCUUAAUUCUUUAUACAUUGCUUGUUUCAUUCCAUUUCUAUAUUAUCACGAGUAUAUAAUUAUCGAAUUUCCACUCCCUUUAAGAACUCUCUUCUUUGGUAAAAGUUAUUCACUUAUUCGCAGCUAUUUCUUCUUAUCUUCUAUUCUUACAGUCGUCUUGCCAUGUUUUCUUUCUCUUUUAUCUUCUCAUGCUUAAUUAAGUUCUGCUUUGAAUAGCUUUCUUUCGUACCCAUAUUCCUAGAGGGGCUCCUCUCUUCUUUGACGAGAAAUCAGAUCUUUUGCCUAAUCCAAAGGGCUUGCCUAAUUCGAAGAGCAGGGGGCAUCCAUAGUAUAAGGAAGAGGACCCAAAAGUGACACAUCGGAUCUUGCCAGGAGUCUCAGAAUGGAAAGAAGUAUCGACAGGCUUUGGGACGGCUUUCAAACAACUUGUGUCCGAUUGAAAGAAAGGAAAUGGCUGUUAUUCUUCGGACAACUUAGCUCUUGUUGGCUAUUUACGAGCAGUUCUUUUGGAAAGGAAAAGCCGCUCUUUCUUCCCUUUUCUCCUUAUUUCGCAGUCGAGACAGAGAUGGAAUGUUCUUUGAUAGGAGAGGAAGUGAUUGAUUGACCUAAGUAAAGUAAAGCAGCACAUGGGAUCCCAAGGCUCGGGCUGUCAUCUAUUUCUUAUAAUGACACUUGGUCGGAAGAGAAGUAGUAAACUAUUUCUUUGAGAACUCAUUCAACAUCUUCUUCUUUGAAAAGUGCUCUUGCUUUCUUAUAUAGCCACGGACAGAUAAGUAGCUUCUUGAGACGUAGCUGUGAGGGCGGGAAGGAUUACAACUAGUAUAGCGGGCAGGGGGAGACAAAGAGUCAUCGAAUACGCGGUACCUUUGAUUGUCAUUUCGCAGUAGUGGGGGCGGCACCCUAUCUUUCUUUGCUUUCCAAGUGAGUAGCUGUCACACGUAUGUAGAGUCGGGGUUCACUUACUUCUUUGAUCCGGUAAUAGGAUUUCCGACAGGACGCAUCCGAAGAAGCAGCCAUCUUCAGUCCACUCUUUCAUAAGAUAGAGAGAGGAAACAUAUAGAAAGGCAGUUAUCAAGGAAGUAGCGUCCCAUGAAUCAGCAACUUUUGAAUCUCCAAUUCCCUUAGUUCAAGCUCUAUCACAAACAGCUGUAGGAAGGUUUUACUCAAAGCUAAGCUCUCGAAUGAAUUGUGCAGAUGAGUUGUUACAUAUCGGAUCUUGCAAGGGGAGAGAGUUAGUGCAUGCCGAGAGCCAAGGGGAGAGAGUUAGUGCAUGCCGAGAGCUAGAAUUCAUCCAAAGAUUCAUAGUUGUUCCAUAUUAGUAGUCGCGCUUUAACCAAUUAUGGAAGACAAGAUCUGGAAGUAGUCAAGUUCUCCGGAGGGCCCCUAGGAAAGACAGAAUAUAUUGAUAGACAUAAGUGAAGUGCAAAAGACAACGCUUGUUAGAGAUGAAGAACGGAGGAAGGAUCCACAUCCUCUAUUUUCUUUGAAUGCCUUGUCCAAGUCACUGUCUUUGGAAUUUCAGUGGGAUAAAGGUUCAAUUGCGGAAUAAUAGGUAGGUUGUGCAAAAGUCCGGAUUGAAGCUCUCGACAAACCUUUUGGAAGUUCAAAUGCAAUGGCGCCAUAGACUCUUUCUUCCGGAAGGUGUGAUAGCUAGAUUCAAGGCUUGAUAGGAGCAAGAAUCAGAGAUGCCUAGUGUCCCGGAUUGGUAGAACUCUUUCGUCCCUUCGAAACCCCGGAUUGGUAGAACUCUUUCGUCCCUUCGAAACCCGCUUCCACUCUUGAGCGGCAAUAAAGGCCUGAGACGAUGCUGGCAUCAGUCAAGUGCAAGAAGUAUAAACACAGUCAGUCUGUCUGAGGGCUUCGCAAUCCUUACCAUUCGAUUUAUCCCACUUCAUAUAUAGUUUGUACUGGAUCAAUAUCAGACGAAUAGAAGACACAGGCAAGGCACGCUGUAACCUAGCGAAGUAUCAAAGGCUCUACAUAUGGAGUUUCCGCGGAAUCCAAUCCAAUACCUUAUUGAAAAUGACCAGUACUAACUUUCUUAGACAAGCAAAAUGGGAGCGGGGAAGACCUCUUCGACAUAGAAAUGGUAGUACUAAAGCGAUGCACUGGUAAUGCCCAGCCCAACAAAGAAAGAUAGCUACGAGCUCCAGUAAUAGAAUAGAGACAGAAAAGCACUUUAGUAAUAGUAAUAGAAUGAAUUGGUAAUAGAAUAGAGACAGAGAAGCACUUUGGUAAUAUAAUAGAAUAUGGUUUGUUUCUUGAAGCACUUUGGUAAUAUAAUAUGGUUUGUUUCUUUGGCUCUUUUCAGGAAUUCCCAGCUUAGCGCACACAUGUUAUCGAAGCGGAUUUGGUAGUAGCUAGCCUAGUAAGGACGGGCUAGAUGGCAUAUGGAUGUGUCACUAUGAGUUAUAGUAAUGGCAAAAAGCGAUCACUGAUGAAGAGAUCAAUAAAGUCGUCUUCACGUUCAAAGUCUUAUUACCCCCGUUCUUUGCCCCCUGCCUGGCCAGCCUCAAUACUUCCUUCUCUAAAGCAUAGCUGUAAUAUCAUAGAAUCAGAUAUCCUCAAAGAAAACUAAAAGACUAUAGAUCAAUCUCCCUAUGGUCAAUAAAUUCAUUAAUGACAAAGAUUAUGGCAAAGAGGCUCCCAUAUCAACUAUCUAAAAAACCCCUGUACAGACUGCCCUUAUUCCGGGUCAUCUCUGAGAACAUCAUGCUUUGCUUUGAUCUUAUUAUUCAUUUGUUUCCGGACUCCUGCCGCUACACUUGAGUAGUCACUUGCCUAAUAGCUUGCCCAGGGAAAUCUCCGCUUAGUCUCAAGGUUUAUGCAAGUCUACUUAGCCGGAUGGAAGUAAGGACAAAUAUGAAAGGCAUUAAUUUACCCCCCCGCCCCUUUCUUAGAUGGAUCUAUGCUUCCAUCUUUCACUUCCUUCUUUCUUCUCCAUUCUAAUCAAUGGCUUGCCGAAAGGUUAUUUCCAUAGUUAUGAUUGUGGCAUUAUACAAGGUCAGAGAGGUGAUUGUGGCAUUAUACAAGGUCAGAUAGCCUUCUCUUUUUUUCUUAACUAUGGAAAGCUUCAGUAUUCUCCUGGAUUAUGCUCCUCCCUCAUUUUGGCCUCAUCAAUCAACACUCUGCAAAAGGAAGGCACUAGAACAAUAUCCAAUGAUCUUUUCGCGGAGAACUUAUUGCUUGCUUUUUCCUGGACCUGACCUCGUCUCCGUGACCACUCUCCGAAUUUCAUGAAGUGAGAAAACAAAGGUAAGGGCACGACUAAUAAGCUUGAAAGUGUCCGGCCACCAAGCUACUACAUCACCUCUUUUGCAAACAAAGCUCGAAUAGCAUCUCCUGCUUUCGGGAGCUACUUUUAGAGUGUUGAGUAAGCACGCGAGAAAUACAGAAUAAGGUACUCCAAUAAUGGCCAAGCAACGACUAACGAAACCGAGGGCUCCUUUUCGAAAGUUCCAUUCUUUAAGUGGCUUUCUUAUCUUCAUUCUGCAAUUCCAUUCUUCAAGUGGGAAAUUCCAUUCUGAAUAAGGGUGAAAAUGGCCCAUCUAGAGAUAGAAGAUUCACCAAACAAACUGGUGCCUCAAAAGAAAGGGUGAUUUGCCUGUUCGAGGUCAGUCAAGUCUAAAGUGUAUAGUUUCAGUUUCCAGAAUCAGAGAAGGAUAAGAAUAAGGAUCUUCCCCCCAGUAGGAACAUAAUUGGAAGCUUUAAGAUAAGGGACUGGGGUCAGAAAGAUAACUAGUCCUGUUUUUGAGAUCUGAAGCCGAAGGGGAAGCUGCUCCUAGGCAAUUCCAUUCUUACCGUUUUGUGGAAUUAUUACUUGUUUGUUCAAUUCUUGAUUCUUUUUCAGUGUCUUUACUAUUAUUAGAUAUAUAUAUAUAUAUAUUCUCUAUAUUAGGCUAUAUUAGGUGCUCCAGAGAUUCAAUUGCAUUCUUCAAGUAGAGAGUUCAUAGAAGGGCAAGAAUCCAGUAGCCGCUUUGAAGCGAGAUAAGUUCUUGGUUAAGGUGAAAGUAGAAGGUCAACAGCAAUAUACGACAAAAGCGGAACUUGAAUCUAUUGUUUCAGUUUCAUAUGUCUUUGCAACGAGAUCAGAAGCGGGAUCCCCGUAUCCAGAGUUUUCAUUCGAAUUAGGAGUGAGAUCUGAGGCAACUGAAUCAGCAAUCAAAGAUGUUGGCACAGCAGCAAGUGGUUAUGAACUUUCUUGUCGUGGAGAUGAGUUCGGUGCUAUAGUGGAAUCCCCAGUUUCAUCUGUCUUUGUUGGCUACUCUGAAAUUAGGAAUUGUUCAUAAGUUGUAUCCUUACUUAUAGAAAUGAUGUGGAAUAAGAAGCUCCGAAUUAUGAAUCCUUAGUUCGAGUGAAGUCUACUAUAUCUGAUCUUUUUGAAUGCCCUGUUUGAGUGUUGUCUCCGAGAUCAGAUGCUUGAUCUGAAGCCAUGGAAAGGUGUUUUGCUCCGGGGUAGGAGAAGGUCGGUUCUUCAAGGGGAGUCUCGGGUGCUAGUGUUUAUGUAGAAAAUAAGUAAGCUGGACAAGCGGAAAGUUUUGAGCAGCAAUCGGUUCUUUAAGGGGAGUCUCGGGUGCUUGACUUGAUGUCGGUCGUGUAGAAUGUGCUUAUGAUUCUUCUGCGCUAACUAAACUGGAUAAUUGGACUCUGUAGCUCAAUCCUCUUCCUCUCUAACAGCAUCUAUACGAGACGAGCUUAUUUUGGCCAACAUCCAGAUACUAUACAGCUGAUGAUCAUGAUCCCUACUCUCCUCUUAUUGAAUCUCUCUCUUUUGUUUCAUCUCUCUCUUUUGCAUACAUAUAAGUUUGGAAUUUCAGAGCACUUAGAGCCAACAAAGGGAAAGUCAAUAACAGAACUCGCAGACAAGAAAACUCAAACGGAACCACUUGCAGCUACUACUUUUUAACCGCCUAAAGUCCAAAAGUGGCUGUUCAAAAGAUUGAGUAGUAAAUAAGGAUUGGUGCGGAAAAGAAAAGAGGGCGGCCCCUAUUCUUCUCAUCAUAUUAAAGGGGCUUGGGCUGGGCUGUAAAGCCGGCCUUACUCAACAAGCACAUUAGUAAGGUUGCUUGUUUCCCCCCCACUCAUUGAAGAUUCUAUCUACAAAAGAAGCGGGGGAUACAAAAGUGGCUAUCGCUGCUUCCUCUUUCGUUCAAGCGGCAUGAAGCUCAUCUUCAUUGACUGACUCGUAAAUGAGCCCGUAACCCUAGAAGACGGACUGACUGGCAUCGUAGUACAAUAUAGAAUUCCAUCGAAUCGUGAGAAGUUAUGAAAGUCAACCGUUCGAAAUCUGUCUUUAAGAAGCAACCACUGCUAAACGCUCUAGAAAGUAGAACAACAUGAGAUUACUCCUUUAUUAAACAUUCUGUUAUUAUAGGCAGGUAAUCCUAACUUCAAUAUGUUGCAGUUGACUGAUCCGGCAUGGAGCCAACAUCUGACCCGGCUUUACCACUCGCAUAGUAAGGCACAUGAACAUUAUUUAUUAGCCGUAUCGGCCACAACAAUUCCAUUCCUGACUCGUUGGUUUGAGUGAAGGUAUAUGAUCGGGAUAACUACGCUUUCCACCCAUAGCUUUCCCUUCUUGUGAUUCAGCACCGCCAUUGCCAGGUUCACCGUAGCCAGAACGAGAAAAUGAGAAAAUAUUGUAUUCAAUUGGAUCGGAGCUACGAGCAAACUCUGUGUAUCAUGCAUAUCUACCAGGCUCGGUAGAAUACACCUGAUAGCACUGGUCUACCAGGCUCGGUAGAAUACACCUGAUAGCACAGCAUUAUCGUAAGCCUCCACUUUUUGAGUGACUAUUUGAGUAUCAUAUAAUAUAAACCCUUGUUAGGAACUGCAUUCCCGCUAUUUGAAGUUAAUGAAAUAGCAUUACCUAUCAUAUAGGAAACAGUACAAGUAGGGACUUUCAUCAAUAACCUAUAGUCAACUUACCAGACAAAAACCCUAUACGGUUUACGUGCUUCACUAACUGUUGCAUUACUACCAAUGCUAUCAGAUCUAUGUCUGCACUUCGUAGGUGUCAAGGCUUGUUAUACUUACGCCAUUCUCAUUCCAGAAUAUAAGAUCCUUGCGCCUUUACUAUGAGAAAAGACUGUUUAUAUAUCCAAAAUAUCCAUGAUUAUUUGUUCUUUAUCCAAUAACCUGAAAGUUGGGUCUUUGUAAGAAUAGAACAUCUCUUUUCUAGUGCAAGCUGUAGUUAUUUGGAGAAGCUUCCCAGCUCUUUUGCUUUGAAUGAAAUAGAUACCACUUAUCAGUAUGAAUCAUCCCGCCAUCCAGAGUGCCUCCACCAUCCACUGUAGUGACAUAUUUCUCGUUACAACUCACUACCUUUUCUACUUUUCGAUCCCAUAUGAUCUCAUCUUUCACACUACAAUUCUUAGGCCUCUGAUCCAUAAAAAGACUUCUAAUAGAAUGACUUUGAAUAGGACGAAUAAGAUCUUGGCACACUAUAUGAGUAUUGCUCUCCUUUCCGUUUCAUUUGUGAACUUCUCAACUACUUUCAUUGCAAUAAAGGCAUCCUUCUGAUGAAUCAAGUUUACGUAAGUAGCCACUUGAGUCUUGCGCUUAUUCCUCUAACCCGUAGGGACCGGACCCGGAGAGUGACUCGAUGUCUUUUCAUAGAAUUCUUUUCAUAACCCCACAUAUUUCCGCUUUAUUGCUGCCCAUAUAAUCCAGCGAAGAAAAUGAUAGAAUGAUCAUGUAAAUUGGGAGAGCCUUUGGGGAGAGUUUCCUAGCUAUUACUAGAGGCAUGGUGACAGCAAAAGGAUCUCGUGAUCAGGCAAUCCAUAGGCUCACGUAAGAUCCACAUCGACCUGUGUUACGAACCUUUCUUAUAGUAGAGUUUGUCUUACCCUGCCCGCCACCCCUUCUAGUUUGCAACCCAUAUCUGCUUGGUGUCAAGCCAAUCAUCAUUAGUCUUCUUCGACCACGGAAACAGGCUUGGGAAGGGAAGUCCGUAGGGCGUUGGUUUCAUUCAUUCUUAAAGGGGCAUAUUGGUGCAUUGUCCUACCGGUAUCCUCCCCAGCUAAGCUGCUGGGAAGCGAUUUGUCAGAGUCAGAGGUGGUUUCAAGUGUGCCAAGCGUCUCCCUCAAUAAGUACUAAUAUGAAUAAGUCCAAAGUGUUCUUUCCCCCCAAUCGUCUCUUUUCAUAGAUAGGCUUUCUAGAAUCGGAUGGCAAAACACACUCAAAGAGCAAAAGACUAACUAACACUCUCCACAUCCUUGCAGAUUAUUAUAUUGUAGAAUCUAUUUGCAGUGAAGUGCCUUAUGCCGAAAAUGGUCUUGCACAUAAUCGUCUUCAUCCCAUGCAGCUUGACGGAAUGCCUUCUAGAACGAGAGUGAAGAAAGAAGGGCAGAUCUCUUUUUGGAUAUUAUGAUUUGACCCCAGUCUAGCAUUCUUCCUCUAUUACUUUCCCUUUCACGGUUAAGUAGAUAGUAUGGCCCCUUCCCUGGCCCCGAAACCAAGAGUAACUCGUCGAAAGCUUGAUUGACCAGAAAGACAAGCAAUAGGAAAGAAAUACCCAUAAGGAAAGCCAUUAGCGGUGUAAGCGAUAGCGGGUAGUCAGAACUAACAGUAGGGCUAUUCAAAGCAUCGAGCAGUAAAGGAAGCAUCUCAACAUUAAGGGGAAUAAGCUCUUGGCUGCCAUCGUUUCAGUACGAGUAAGAGGACUGAGGUUUUUUCAGAAGAGGACAUCGAAUAGGCUCUGGAACGGAUCACCUUCCUUCUUACAGGGCACGAGAUGGGCCAGUAAUUGAUUCUUUUCUUUCCUAGGUUGAAGCUCUUUCGGUAUUACCGCAGCACUCGGUAGCAGCCAAAUACUCCAAUUGUGACUAUACCCUCACCUCUUAGCUCAGCAGGUUUCAAACCUUUCUACCACGGAAAGACCCAGGACAAAGGUCAAGAAAGAACAUAGAAGGACCUAUACUAGACCCACCUAUAGAGUAUCAAAAUCAGAAGCUAAUAGGGAUAAAGCCUGCCGAGGUAUGCUGGCCAAAGAAUAAGUGGCUUUGACACCUGGGACCAGAGCAUGUCGUAGCACGGCUUGAAGCCUCAUUCUGGAAUCAUUCUUUAAACCGCACAAUACAAUGGAGAGUUAUAACAUGGGGAGUGGACCUCUCCACAUUCGCAAGUCCAUUUGCCUUCCGGUCUAUUACCUGAGUUAACACUCAUGUCUUUUAUCCGUGCCUUGGCGUGGCACUAUACUUAACAAGUGGAUACUCCAGUAGAUAGCAGUCGACUUUACCCAGUAGCUUCUACAGAAAAAGAGUGGAUUGAUGUUCGAGAGAGAAAACGGACCCGAAGACUCUAGGACUGUCACUUAGUUGGCCGCUCGUCACACCCUUGAAGGGGCAAGCAAGGAAGUGAAUGAGCUCUAAUAGGCAUAGGCAUUCGCGUUUUCCGUUGUUUUCUUAGGUUGUUGAUGUUAGAAACGAAUCGUCCGGUAGUUCUGACUUUCCCUACCUUCUUUAUGACACUUAAUCCGAUCAAUAGUUGAAGGAAACUGAAUCCGAUCAAUAGUCGAAGGAAAGUAAAGGGCCAGACAGAGUUGGUCAUUCAAGAAGCUUUGGCUAGCCAGCUUGACUUAUGGAAAAAGAAUCGAAGGAAGGGUCAAUCUGUUUAAGAAAGGAAAUAAGGGAACUUAGAGCAUUGAAUGGCACGGAAAGAAAACAACAGGAGCAAAAACCCGCUAUAGGAAAAGCAUCUUGGAAGCUGCAUCUCAUUGAUUAGGUAGUAGGAGAAAACAGUCUAUUAGGUAGGGCUAACAGUCUAUCAUGUCGUAGUUCUAACCUGAUCGUCUUCAACCUUGUAGUAGUUCUAACCUGAUCGUCUUCAACCUUAUAUACGAGAUUGGAACCAGAAAGAGAUGAACCAUCCAAUUAGAUGACAUAGACUCUAUUUGCAGCUAGGUGUAUUGGGACUAGACGGAUUCUGGACCUAAGGAUGAAUGCCCGGUUUCAGGCAAGGAAGCGGAUCACAGUGUCUAGACGCAUUCAUGAUUGAAUCACCUUUUUUGCAUAAUGGUUUCCCUCAUUCACUGAUUAACGAUCAGAGCUCGAAGCCUUAAAGCUAAGGUCUGAGGCAACGAGUGAAACCGCUGUCAAAAUACAAUAGGUGCCGGAGCUGCUCCUACUGAGUAUGACUGGACAGCAUUGGACUCUUUCUCUUCGUCUGACCGGACACAGCAUUGUACACUUUCUCUUCGUCUGACCGGACAGCAUUGGACUCUUUCUCUUCGUCUGACCCUGCCACCCAUCUUGGAUUUUAUGAAGCAACCAUCACUGAAGCAAUUGAUUUUGUAGCUCUAUUUCACAGGUUAGCAGCAGAAAUGGAAUAAUUCCCGAGUGGACGAGAAGAAGCCCCUAUUAAGGGAAGAGAAUCAAGGGCUAAGUUCAAAAGGCCCAGUUAUGUAUUCGAUGGAAUUUAUGUUGCUGCGACUUCCAGUUCCGCACCUGUACUGCCAUUUCCCUGGGAUGAAUGUGAAAACCAGCCUUCUCGGGCACGACCGUCGAUGGGGGCAAUUCCCGGAUGUGCUUAAGUUCCAUUCAUUGCUCGCUUGAAACCUUUAUGGCUGUGAAUCUAUAACCUGCUCUAUAUGCAACACUAGUAUCACUAAUUACCUAUACCUAACCUAAUAUCCAACGACAUAUAAGCAAUACCUUAGCACGCACCACUUCCGGAAAGCGCCUAUCACGUUCCAUUAUGGACUAUAUAUAAGCGCCUUUAUAACGUUAGCUCGCUAGUAAGGCAAGGAAUGCUCGGGCCAAGCAACUAAGUCAGACGUUGGGCGGCCCCUAUAUGCUUGCUAUACCUAUUAUGCUUGCUAUAUCUAUAUGUGUCUAUGCUAUCCAUGCUAUCCCCAUAUGCUUGCUAUACCUAUAUGUAUGUGCUUAUGCUAUAUCAGAGGUGUAUUGUCAUUGUUGUAUUUAAAUAGCAAUGACCUUUCACUAAGGAAUUUGUGGAAUGGGGCAAAUAUCCAUUAUUACUCCCAGUCAAAAUCUUCAUAAUAGUCUACUUAGGGAAUGAACUAUCUGCUAUGAAUUUGAAGCAACUCAUUGUGAUUGCGUCGACUUGGUGAUUGAAUUAGAGAUCCGUCAUUACUAGAAAACAUAGUUCCAUUCCUGUCAUAAUGCUGAAGUCGGUUAAACAUUAUUUUAUGACCAAGAAAGUACUCAUCUAUCAUCCAUAGGUAAUUCCGUAUUGACUCUCACCCGUUGAGACAAUGACUAUUCAGUAUUACAUACAUACAUACACAUAUGAAAUCAAUUCCUUCACGCUUUGAUAUGAAAUAGUAUGAUUUCUCUAUUAGUAGGAAAGGAAUGUUAUGGUCAUUUCGUUUCUAAAGAUGUGGUAGAAAGCAACUAAGACUUGAAGGACAUGAUCCGCUGUAGAUUGAUUUUGACAUCCACUAGUUUCCUUUGGAACGUGGCUAGACUAUGCAUGGGUUCCAAAGGUACAGUAGUAAUAAUGAUGCUCCUGGCUAUACAUAGGUUCCUCUGGUACAUGAGUAAUCUCAUUUGUCUUUGGUUGUAUAGUACCUUGUCUUGUCUUAGAUUUGUAGUACUCUUGUCUUAGGUUUAUAGUACAUGAUGGAGCUCGAGCAGAAAGGAUUGAUUAAUUUGUCAAAAGGGAAGGUUAGUGCCAAUCAAUCAAUAAGUUAGUUAGACCAACAAUCAAUAAGUUAGACCUACUUUGUUAGUAUAGAUAUAUAAUGGAAUCCAAAAGGUAUAUACAUAGAGAAGAUACCAUAUAAUGGAAUAAAGAUAAGACUAUUUCGAUCCAAAAGUGUUGUAUCAUAUCACAGAAUAGAGGAAUCCCCAGUCUUCGUAUUCUAUUUCCAUAGGUAUUCCAUUACUAUAUAUACUAUACAUAUAGAAAUCAUGAAAAAGAAACAAAAGUGCUGAAAUAGCUCCUUUCUUUUGAAAGGUGCGUAGCGGUGCUGAAAGCCUUAGUAAUUAAUGUCUAAACCCAAUGAUUUCACAAAGCAAGGAGAAAAGAUAAAGGAACGAACAAGGAAAGACUAUUGUCAAUUGUGGAUAAGAAUAAGGAAUCCAAAUAGAUGAGAGAUGAGACAACCAAAAGAAAAGAGGUUAGAUACGGCUCAAGAACCAGAAAUGUAUAAGGCCCUUCGCAUUCGAUGCGCUUCCUGUCCUGCUUGAAAUAUGACUUUCUCCUUGCCAGGGACUUGCUUGUCGAGGGUCCUCAGAGCUCCAUCAGAACUAAGAUGAUGACUUGAUUAAGAAGCAUACAGGAAGGGCGCUUAAGAAGGUCGAGGCUUGAACCCCUAACCACCCUAUUUCUUUAUCGUCGUAACCACCCUAUUUCUUUAUCGUCGUCUAAGAAGGCUGUGACCCCUAUUUCUCUAAGAAGGCUGUGACCCCUAUUUCUGAUUUCUCAUUGUGGGCCUGUAGUGAGUCGGGUUUUCGCAAAUAAUGUGUUAGUUGGUUGCCAAAGAUGUGUGCACUAGAUGAAAUUCCGUGUUGGCUCGUUGUGUGCUAAGGAUUAUUCUCGGGAUGCUGACUACUGUCGUUACUAGUUUCGCCUUUUGAACCCAGUAGUAGUGGGCCUUAACCGCUUACCCUAGAGACUUUGACACAGAUGAACUUACCGCAAACAAUAACUCAACUAUACUGAAGUAAAGAAGCCCUGAAAGCUCUAGUUAGGGGGAAUUCGUAGAAACUUAGAGAAAAUGGUGCUUCCAACUAGAACACUCUAGUAAUAGGUUCAGUAAUAGGUUAGGUUAGGGUUCCGGUCAAUAAUGGAGCUUCUAUAACACUUACAGUGCCGAAACACCCACAGUGCCGAAACACUCACUGUGCCCCCGAUAUAAUACUCUUUUACUUCACGGAGUGCAUCCAAUCAAUUCUCUUCUUUCGCCUGAGUACGUUAGCUUCCUUGAGCUUUGAGAGCGAGUGCGCCGGGCAAUAAUAAAUGGAGUCUAGCGUAAGGUUGCCUAGCUGAGUGAUUCAAAUCCUUAGAGUUAGCAGUGAGAUUACUUUAUUACAGAAGUAGUGAGUUAGAUUCAUUUCCAUUCAAUUGCUGCUUGACUAAAUUAUGGAAUUGCUGGUUUACUGGCCGUUAAUGCAAGUAAAGUAUAGAGCGUGCGCAUGAGAGAGUUCUUUAGGAAGCAAUGGCAGCUAAUUAAUCUAUUGAGAGCAAAGGCGCAAGGCCAAGCUACUACCGCUUAGUACCUUCUCGCAAGACGACAUAAUCUACUCUCUCCUUAGUACCUUUCAGGAAGGACGACAUAAUCUACUCUCUCCUUAAUACUUUUCAGGAAGUACGAUUGGGAAGAAUAAUCAAGUUAGUUGACAACCAACCCGUAGACAAAGGCAGCAAGGAAGAGCACAGCACUACGUUUACAACCCGUAGACAAAGGCAGCAAGCAAAGGUGAGUUUACCACCAAUCCGGAGACAAGACAAAGUAAGCAAGCAUAGAGUGAAAUGGGCUUUCAGCACCUUAUUUUCUUAUAGAAUAGAGACAACUUAAAGAACCUCGCUUAGAUACAACUCAAAGAACCUCGCUUAUACAUAUUUCUCUAAUAAAGCCUUAUUUGACUUAACCUUAUUUGACUUCAAUUUAUAGAACAUUGAUAAGCAUCGACCUUACAGCUCAUAGGGUUGACUUUCUGACCUGAGAUCGGGAACAUCAGUUCCGCGCUAAGAUAGCGUACCGGCUUCAAACCUUUCAUCGACCCUUGCCUUUAGUCGUCUUGUCUCGUAAAGGCAAGUACGAUAACGAUACCAACAUAGUUCCUGGUACGAUAACGAUACCAACAUAGUUAAUGCUUCUCCCCGCUUCCCGAACUAGCAGGCAGAUCUCAUAAUAAGCUAAAGUACAAGAGGCACUGAGACUAGCUUGAUCACAAACUCGGUCAACCUCUAUCAUAUCUAAUCGUUGAAAGCAUCCAACCCUCGGGUUUCCUUUCCAAAAAGCACUUGCACUUUAGCAUCUGACUUCCACUGUCCUUACAGAGUUUCCAUUGGAAUAUGUUCUCUAAUGUUCUCUGGAAUAGAACUACUUACUUAACGUACGUCUAUCGUGGAAAUGAUGAAAAAGCUAUAUUCUUCAUACAAAGAACAUUGAAGCAAUCAGAUAUCACAUAAUAGGCCUCCGCUACAGCAUGGUCUACCACAGCAGACAGGUCCACAUCUGCUUCUUUGGAAUCCUCUCACGCCUCUUUGGAAUCCUCUCCACUAACGGCUAGCGUAAUGCUUCAAACAUCCAAGUCGGACGGUAAGGAGUCAUCCAGUAGAUUUCGGGUUAGACGAGCAAACCUACUCUAUCAACUUGUUUCUUUCUCUCUCUAUAUAAAUAUUCUCAAUUUCAGAACUACCAACCUUAUAACCAUACUUGAGGUUUUCUGAAAUGCUCCUAACUUACUGUUAGCAACCCAAGCUUAUUCUCUAUUGAUACUAUAACCAGCAAUUCCGCUGCUGUCUAGCGAUCUCAAUUCAGUGAACUGCCUCCUCCAUUGAUAGUAUCACCCCAACUGUAACUGCUUGUAAUUCAUUUGUCCAACUGCUUCCCUCCCUUAUAUAUCUACCUACAUCCAGUCCAGCAACCAAGCUAAUUCCAUUACAAUCUCAAUUGGAAACCUAAUACCCACAUAAUGUUCUUGUGAGUCAAAACUUCCAUCACAAUUAAGCUUCAACCAGGAAAUAGGGGUUUUUCCAUUGUACAAGGAGAAUCUUGUCCUCCAAUUCCUUUAGAUCAGCUUGUCCUACUGCAGAAUUCCUUUAGAUCAGGAUAACAAACUGCAGCAAGAAACAUAUCAUGAAGCUUUGUACAGGAAAUAGGUGUAAGGAUUUGACAAUGAAUAUAAGAAAGAGAGAGAAAGAGAAGUAUAUAAAAUGAAUGAGCAUUCUUUCUGUUAAAUAGAAUUCCUGGCCAUGCAUAACAAGCAAAGGCAAUAGGUAAUGCUAGCACUAAGAAAGAUAAGGCUCUGUGUAGUAAGUUCGGCACCCUAAAACAACCAUGCACCUUCUUUCCAAUCAUUAUUGUAUUUUCAAAUCCAUCCCAUUUAUUGUUGAAAGAAAUAGUUCCCAAACGAGCUGGACUCCUAUAAGCAGUGGUUCCAAUCUUAUAGUAGCAGUGCCAGUUUACAAGUCAGGAUAGGUGAUCUCAUUCUAUCAGUAGAACCAUUCAUUCUUAGAGACACAUAGCUCAUUCUGCUAUUAACAUGAAUAAGUCUUUCGAUGGUCGAUUGUCAUCGCUCUCAUUCAUCGAGGUGUCCACCACCGCACCCGUGGCACGGAAGAAACAAACACACCUAGAGCAGAGGACAUGCACUUUAAGUCAAAUAACGAAUUCAUUUAGGGGCUGGGCAACAAUAGAGCACGGUAGGUCCACACUCGUUCUUCAAUAAAGCACGGUAGGGAGGGACUGCCGCGUGAACUAAGGAAAUUCAUGGAUUCCUAUAAUCAAGAACUGCUGGAUCUGGAUCUGCUCGAGGAAAGCCAACUGAGUACACCUAUUCUUUUCUUUCAACUGCUGAAACACUAAGUUAAUAAGUUUGACCAUAUUAAUAAGAAGCCGAUCUAGCACAUCCAGAGAAUAGAGUCUUAUACAAGAGAUCUCAAUUCCAUUCUUUUGGUUGCCAUUACCAAGUAGUGCUUUAGUUGCUUGACUGAUAGCAAAGAUCUUCUUGCCCCAACUCGUAGUAUACUAAGGAUUCCACUAGAAAGAUGGUGUUAAAGCCAACAACUCUCAAUCCGGUCUUUCAAGCCAACAACUCUCUCCAGAUAUAUAAGUGGCACAGGACCCAGUUCUAGUUCUAGGAUAAGAAUACAGAUCUCGCAAGCAGGAGAAGAAUAGGAUAAGAAUACAGAUCUCACAAGCAGGAGAAGAAUCAGCUGUAUUGUCUCCAGGAAAGUACUAUCAAACAAAAGCAUAAGAGUAAGUUCAUAGGGUGUUAAAGCCUAAACCUAAAAAGAUGGUGGAGCAGGAUCUGAUGUCGAAGUCGUUGGUUCCUCACUUCCAAUUGACUAGCGGCCCUUUAGCUCGAACACAGGUUAACUCAGGUAAGGACACUGUUAUGACCGACUCGCAACUACGGAAGGUAUCAAACAGGUUAACAAUAGCUCCUACUCUUCAUCCCGUGAGUGCUUCCUUGAAAGUACCAGGUAAAGUGUUCGUAAACUACAUGUGGUUAGUGACUUUAUUCUUCUGGUAGUAUUGUUCUUGUUCUUGUUGAAUACCGAGUUUAGUUGCUUUUGGUGCUUCUUCAAGGAUAGUUUCAUCUUUAUUAGUUGAAAGAGUUAGAUUCGAUGCUCUAGUAUUGACUGGCAAGAACAGAACGGAUAGAGUUAGAUGAGCCGACCUCCCAACUUGCUUGUUUCAUUGAGUGCACUAUUAGUUGUUUCAUGAAAUACCUUAUCCGGGUAGUCUCGAAGAUUGCCAACACCGAACCUCUCCCGAUUGACAAGCACCCGAACUUGACUUUCUUUAUGAUUCUUCACCGACUACACUGUAAACUCUCCCUGCCGCCACUAAGUCUGUCUGGGCCGGCUCUCCUACUCAAGAUAAAGCUUCUUCAUUUCUUUCUUCUAUUGGGCAUGUGCCUGCUUAUGAUUGUUCGAUAGAUCCUACUGCUCGAACAGAACUGUCAACUACUUUCCCUGACGACUUAACCGAUUAAUUGGUUCUUCUCCCGUCGACAACACCCGACCCGACCUCUCCUAAGGCUACAAAUACACUUCUUAAACAGAAGCUUACCUCGAACAGGGGCAAGCAGACAAGUAGGCAAGUCGGACUGGAACAAGUCUUAAUUGAACUCAAAGCAAAGAUACAAGCGUAUACUAGAUGCGGGCCAAGUCACUAAGGGCCAAGUCACUACUCAUGUGUAGCGGCUGUAACAACAAGCUCUUUCACUCCUCCGCUAUACUAACUCUUUCACUCCUCCGAUGAGAAUACAUCUUCUUUUACUGUUUUCUUCUUUUACUGUUUUCUUCUUUCCUCUCCUCUUGCUACUGCUACUACUCCGGUAUUUCACUAACAAAGCGACUACUCCAGUGGGAGACAAUAUCUGAUCAUCGGGCCAAGUCACUCUGGUAUGAAUUCUCCGAGUCAAGUAAAGGCUUUGAAGCAUAAGAAGAAUAAGGUACUGUCAAACAAAAAGGCUUUGAAGCGCUACUAAGUGGUCCAACCAACCCCCAAGCAUGAAAGAAAGGCGAUUCUUCAACAGCAAGACUUCACUCCUUAUUGCCAGAACCUAGUUAUAUUUCUCACAAACCAUACCAUAGACUAUUUCUGGAAAGUAGACAAGUAAGAAGAAACAUACUACUGGAAAGAAUUCAAAGCGGUAAAGCAAGACUCAAAGGGGCUGUAGCCGAAGAGCAAAAGAGCGCCCACAAUUAGUGUAAGGAGUCUCAGUUGGGGAGUUAGGAGUCACGGACCUAGUUUGUAUUCGGGUAAUUAAAGACAGGAGUGUGGGCUGGAAUGAGUAUCUAUAAAAAAUGCAAAGGGAGUGCUAGAGCAAUAAGUCAGACUUCAGGGCAUUAGUUUCAGUUGAUGUGUUUCUGGCGGUAGGGGAGUGAACUCAGGUGUUGGUGAUUUUCUUUAUGCUGAUUCCUUUGUUCGAGUGUGAUUACGUGCACCACUGUUGGGUUAUCAGAGGCCUAUGCUCUGGUUUCAGUGGUUCUCAGAGUCCUAUGGCUAUGUUGUUUGUCUUGCUUUCCCUCAUUUCAUUAUUUAUUGUUCCAUCCUAUAUUUGGAGUGAAAAACAGCCUGUGGCGGUCCGGGCACUCUUUCAUCAUUCCCUUUCAUUCAUGCCCUGUCCUGUUUCAUUCUGAUUGUGAUUGGCGCAAACAAAAGCUCUACCUUUGCUGUAUUUGAAGGCUGUUUGCUCCGGUAAGAUGUCCAAUGCUUAUUCUUAUAUCUGAGUUUAGUGUGCCGGUGCUCGUUAAGUAUAAAGCAGAGUGCGUAUCAAUGUGGCUAGCAGAGUUCGUAUCAAGUAUAAAGCAGAGUUCAUAUCAAUGUGGUGGCUAGCAGAGUUCGUACCAAUGUAGGUAUAGGUACGGGCAACUGGGCAAGGUACGGGCAAACUGCCUAGUCUACCAAUUCCAAAAGCAGGUUGUUGAUACAAAAAGUGAAAUAGAACUAGUUGGUUUUUCGUCGGAUUCCCCUAAUCAAAUAGAAGAGAAUAUUAUAUGCAAUAACGUUUAGAUACAGGCUUUCAGCAAGGAGCUAAAGAAUUAGUUCAAAGCUAGGGUCUUGUUAGCUGCGGUUCGAUCCGAUAGUUAGUAGCAGCUUGGCGAGUUGAGCUCCUACGCUUACCGCUCUGAGUCCACUGCUUGGCAUAUUAAUAGAUGUUCAUAGAUGUGUUAGUCCCGUACUGUCCACACUAGCUCAAUUCUUUGGCUAUGUCUUUUCAUUCCCGGUUCACAAUUCCAUAGUUUCCAUUUUCAGCCUUGCUUUUUCUAUUGGAAUUCUUUCUUGUGUGUGGGGAGGGACAUUAUUAUUAUUAGAAGCCCGAGUUGCUGCCUUGUUUGUAGUAGUUCGAUCCCAAUCAGUUCCGGGUUUAGUUAGCAUCAGUAGGAUCGAGCCUUGGAAACAACAGUAAAAGCAUGAAAGCCAGUCAAGAGUUUUGGUUUAAAAGCAAGGAAAGUAAGGCGCGUAAGUAAAAGACUAUGUUUGUCCGUAGGGGCAUACUGAACCAAGAGAUAUUGUUUGAAAACUUGUAAGGUAAGCAUAAAAGAAAGUAGCGUGAGGCACAUAGGAAGUAGAGCCAGGUUCUAGUUUGAUAAGUGAGGAGAGCUACUCAAGAAUGAUAUCCGGCAAAGGCAUACUCAACAUGGGAAUGCAGGGGACAGGUCAAAGAAUGAGAGAGCAUAGUAUAAGUUUGAGCAAAAAGGUCGUUUUUUAGUUCAGUAGCGCUAGGCGAGAGAUACAAAUACAGAUAUGAGAUCGAGGAGUCAAAGAAUGAGAUAGGGCCCCGGCAUAGACAAACUCGGCAUUGAGGGCAUUAGCGGGAGUUUGGGAGCUGUUAUUAUCCUAAUUCUAAUUAGGGGACGCAUACUUUAAUACAGGAGUUUCGGAUUGAAGAGAAGGGUCAUAUUGUAGAUUAUUAGUUUCAUAGUAAGGCUUGUCUCUCAUACCAUGGCUUAGGCUUCUCUAGUAAUGAGCCCCAUUCUGAUCUCUUGUUACACGGUGCAUUCUUUGACUUUUGUAUUUCAUUCUGUAUUUCAAUUAUCUGCCUUUGUAGUAAUGACUUGGCCCCGGGAUUUGGAAUAGCAAUAAGAGAAAGAAUAUGAGCAGACAAGUGAACCUUAGCUACUAAGGAGGGGAAGGUAUCAACCUAAAGAUAUAAAGUAUCGGGUUGGUGCUCUAGUAGUUUCAUCAAAUUCCGGGUAGAGGUAUCGGUGCUGUAACUCCAAUCCAUUGCAGCAAGAAAGAUCAAUAAAGGGAUUGAUUGACCGGGUGCGGACUUGUGAACAGUGAGCAUAUAGGUAAUAAAGGCAUCAAAUAAAUAGGAAAAACUCGAGUAGGCGGCUGACCCUGGUCUUGUUCGAGGAAGAAUAAAGAAAAGGCGUAGCUGUUUCCGUUAGGGGAAUAAUCUAAUAUCUGACUUCCUUUGAAGCUCCAGUUACCGGUGUUACUUAUUGAAAAUCUGACUUGAUAGUUCUAUCUGUCUUUGUUGUCGACGAAGCAGUAAGUACUGAAUUAAGAAGGGGAGUUUCCGAGGUUAAUACCCAGAAGAAGAGGAUUGAUCUGCACACUAACAGGAAAGGGAGUUGGACAAACAAAUAAGAUUAUAGGCAUCUGUGUUCAGCAAGUAGUAAAUAUAGAAGUAGUUGCGGCGUAUACGCUUGGUUGUUUUACUCGGUGCUCGACUCAGUGUGUUAGUUAGUCUUAUGAGCAAGUCCAGUAAAGUUUUCACGGGUCGUAAAUUACCGAUCUCCUGUGGAUAGCUCCAUUUUCUUCUUUAGCGCUGUUCCUAGGAUAGCUCAAUGGUUUUUGAAUGACUUUCCGGGGUGUGCUGGGCGCCUAUGAUCUUAGUUUAGCAUCCGCAGUAAUUAGUAUCUAGAUCAUCUUCUGUUGCUUUAGUCGGCGAACUCACUAACGCUUUAUUUAUAUGUGUUCCUUUUUUCUGCUUGAACUUAUUAACGCUGCUUGCCUACUUGCUUUGCCUUUUUGGCCUGAUUUCCUGGACACUUUGUUGAUAAUGUCCCAACUUCAUAAGACUUCCGCGCUAACAUUAGCCAUAAGAUGAUUGAGGAGAGGUGUUCACGACCAGAGGUGUGUUUGUAUCUUAAUAAGUUCCCUAACUGGGGGCGCUUUAUAAGGCUUCUUUCCAAGUCAAGACAAUCUCUUUCUGGUUGUUUCACCUAUGCCUAUGUGUAACUCUGCUAGGGUGUGUAACCUUCUGCCUAUGUGUAUAACUCUGCUAAUGGCAAAUCCUCCAUUGAGUGAGGUAAAGUUAGGCUCAGAUAAUGCCUUUUGCCGUAUCUCUUAGCUUUGCUUCGAACUCGCUAACUUGCGCACUUGCUCAUUGCAAUUACUCUCAAAGACUUUCUGAUUUAUUGCUCUAAGCUUGUUUAUAGGCUUGUGUACUUGCUUUAAUCAAGCUUGUUUAUAGGCUUGUGUACUUGCCUUUAAUCAAAUAAUCUUUAUUGGCAGCCGAACCUCACUUAUUGCCUGGCCCCGAAGCACCCCAACCCCAAGAAGUCAGCUAACGCACAACUCAGCAGAACUCAACAAACUUGGGAAAACAACCGAGUAAAAGAGCUUACUAGCGCGAUACUAGUUCAAUUAAAAAGCCAAGCCGGUAAGAUUCAUAAGAAGGAAGGGGAAGCCAGUAAAGUCAGAUUCUUCAGAUAGAUUGAAGCCGGUAAUUAUAUAUGAGAUAUAAGUCAGUGUGUUAUCUUGGUGUUGGACUGUAAGCGCUAAGUCAGGAGCAUGGUGUAAAGGUUCUGUUCUAGUUUCAUCGACAAGAGAAUCAGUGGUCCAAAAAUAAGCAGCAGUGAGAGUUUAGGUCGGAAAAGGAAAAUCAGAUAAUACUGGCCGGGGCAGCAAGCGGGUCAGAAAGGAGAGUUCGACUCAAAUCCAUGUUAGUUGGCGACCGUUGAGAUCGAUUCAUAAAGUGUAGUUUCGUAUGAACUCCUACAGUUGCUCACAUAUGAACUCUUACUGUUGCUCACUUAAACAACACUUUCAACAAAUUCUUCUUCCAUUUCAAUCGAGACUCCUGGAAUUUCUUCUGUCCCCAACUCCACUUGAAGAGACCCGAACUCGUAUACUAGGCGAAGGCAAUCUGAUCUAGACUACAGGGCAAAGGCAAUCUUAUCUAGCUUUUGAUACUGAUCCAGCAUAUCAUCUUACUGAUGACGACUUUACCCCAACCUAUUCUUCACCCCCCGCAUCUUCCCUAUCUCCUAUUCCGGAGAAAACUCCUAAUUCUAUCUCCGACUCCGAUUACUAUUGCUUCUAUGGCUUCAGAUUCAUCAUACUAUGUAGAUAAAUGAUUCCUUCUUUCCUUUGCGCCUAGUAGACUACUGGAUUAUUUGUUAGCACCUUAUUUGCUAUUAUUAUUAAUAUUAUUUGUAUACUACCUAAUGCACUAGAUGACGUACCUGCUUUAGAUAGGGUAAUGCACCAUCUAGUACCAGCUUAUGUCCUUACUUGGAGUUCCAUUCCGUAUGUGGAGAGUUUUCUUCUGACUUUCAUCUAAGAGCACGAGGGUACGGGUGGUUACCUACUUAUACAGGGUUAGGUGGGUGAGUGACUUCUUUCUAUCAUACCUAUAGCCAGAGCAGCGGAACAAGACCAAUUUAGUUGCAGUAGAUCCAGUAGUCUCAUUUCGUUUUAGCUAGUUUCAUCCCGCCACGCAGUACAGCUUUCGAUCAAGCUUCUUAUCUUUCUACUGCAUCUUUCAACUCUUUCGUCACUGGAUUUUGGAACAGAAACGGAAUUAACAAGCACGCGGCCCCUGUUGAUUCUCGAGUGUACUUAACAAGCACUAGACCCACACUUCUAGUUAGCGCAGAAAAACGAAUUGACACAACACCACCACUCAAUGGUUCAUCUGAUCUAUCUUUUGAAACGGAUCCAGCCUUUUCAUCAGAUCUUUCAACUUCUCCUUAUUCUUUGAAAUAAGUCAGAAUUGACUCUCCUUGAAGAAUCGAUUCCUCGUAUGCUCCAUCUUUAGCUUCGGAUCCAAAUGGGGCUGAUGAUCUCUCUCUCGUUGACAACACUGUCACACCCGAACUACACUUUUUGUGCAGAAUGGAAUUGAACAACUUCAGUUAGCGCCUUACCUUAGCCAAAGACUGGAAUUGACCUUAGAGAAACUCCACUCUUUUUGCUUAUCUUUCUAAGAAGAAAACGGAUUCUCGUGGAGACUUGACUCGAGCAGGAAAUCCAUCUACAUCAUAUACUUGAGUACUUACCGCUUCAAAGCCAAUACCAGAGAUCCUUAUUCUGGACCUGCAUCCGAUCCAACUCAUUCUUUGGAAUCUUAUUCGGCUCUUGCCCCAGAACUAGACUUGACUCGCACCGCUACAGCUGAAGAAGUAGUUUACCCAGCUUCCGCCCCAAAGUCCACUUUCCUUUCCACUUGCUAUGGUUCGGUUCCUUGAUAAAGAAAGCAGAUUCUCUCAACUCAACUGAAACUGUAAUUGAAUCUAUAUCUCUUGCAUAGUAUAGAAUUGGAGUAAACAAACGACUUCUCUUUGGCUUCUUUUACAUAUUACUUGACUGCGGGAUCUGACCUAACUGCCGAACACAUAAAUUGAGGAUGAAGACAGGAAUUGUAAUAACAGGACUUGUAGGAAGCCCGCCAAGUCAGUACUAGACAAUUGAACUACUUAGACUUGAGACCCGUUUUCUGUAAGGAGGUAGAAUAGUUCCUGUACUAUCCAAUUUAUACAACAGUUGGCUUAUGUGCUAUGUCUAGCGGAUGGUGAAUCCUACGUGCUAUGUCUAGCGGAUGGUGAAUGCUACCUGGAUUUUCUUGCUUCCCUUUCCCUUCAACCAACCACUAUCUGAGUUCCCUAAAUAUAAAUAGAAUAUCUAGAAUCCAGAAGACUGCCCCUUAUCACAGAAGUCGAUAGUCCUUGCUUGUAUCGGUCAUUAUUAUAUGAGAAAAGUAGAUAUAUGAUAACAAAGGAAAAAGAUGAUCAAAUCAAUAAACAAAAACCAGAAGGCCCUAUAUAUUAAUUAAGGCUGUUUAAGGAUGUGUCUAUUUCAUUUCGAUUAUCUGAAAGAAUCCGUUUUUAUAGUCAUAUAGAUUGUAGUGGAUCCAUAAAUAAAAGCUUCCAGAAAGUGCUAUACCUACCCUAUAUUGUUUUAGGUAUUAAACUCGAUCCCUAACUCUCUAGCAGCACAGAUGGGGUCGAUCUCACCCUUGCUUCACCACGCCCGGAGGCUAAGUCUAGUUUCAUAAGGUUAAGAUGGAUACCGCUCAUAAAGAGCUUGUUUAAGUGUCCCGUAUGCCUUGCAAUAAUCCCUUGCCCCUUGAUUUCUACAAUACUUGAUGUGACUUGAAACUUGUGAUACGAGACUGCUUCUCUUGCGCAUCUACAACAAGGUAGAGUUGGGCGCCUGUGUUCGGUCAACAAAUAGUUCAAUUAAUCUAUAUCGCAUAUAGUGAAAGAAUAUAGCUAGAAUAAUAUAGAAUCCAAUAACAACAUUCCUUAUUGCUGACUAAGGAGAAGGACUCCUAGCUUGAAGAACUCAUAUUGGCCCCAACAAGCAACUGUGCUAACGUGAGUGGAGUUAAGAAAGCCUAAGUACGUUAGUUAGGUCGAAGAGAAUGUUUGUUUGCCGUUACUAGUUCCCCUUGCUUCAAGAAUAGAGGAAUCCCUGGAAAGUCUUUGAAUGGAGGAUAGGAUUGAUGUCGUAAAGUCUUUGAAUAGAGGAAAGGAUUGAUGUCGGCACCCCAAGUGUACUACGGCUUGUUGAAUUGAGGAAUAUCAUAGAGUGCACAAACAAAUAGAGGCGCAUAACUGCAUUGCUUUCUUACCGGAUGGAGCAUAACAUAACUGCUUCCUCUAUUCCGCUAAAAGAGCAUAACAUGACUGCUUCCUCUAUUCUGCCUUAGGAAGGCUACCCUAUUUCAUUGAACUGACAACAACAUAUGAGAGAUAACUGAACGGAAUAUGCAUGACAACUAGUGGAAAUGCUCUAAAACUGCUAUUACUACAAAACGGACUAUCCCUGCAGGCUUUGCUUAUAGUGGAAAUGCUCUAAAACUGCUAUUACUACAAAACAGACUAUCCCUGCUUGCUUACCCAUCGGAUUCUGUCACUAAGGCACUCAGGCUUGCAAUCUACCCGCUACCCGCUGCUUUAAUCAUGGAAUCUAUAUCGCAUAUAAUCUAAGGAACCUAAGAACUACUUGCAUAGCUUUAUUGAAAACUCAUGUAAGCACCCGCAUGUUUACAUGUUGAAUGGAAUCUAUCUCGCACAUGAUAGAAGAUGGGUAACCUAACGCAUAACUCCAAACGUUUAAGGCUGUAACUCGUAUUCAAUACUUAGCGCUUCAUAAGGUUGUUUAAGGCUGUAACUCGUAUUUCUGGUCGUUUAAGUUGAACCUCUUAUGAACUCCGCUUAUAGGCUUAUCUAUAUCAUUGAAACUAUGCUUCUCUCCCUCUCAGUCACCGAUGGAAUUUCAAGCACAAUUCUACCGAUUUCAUUUCAAGCACAAUUCGAAUAUCAUUGGGUCUCAUUGAAUCUCACUUGCAUAAAGGAAAAUCACUCGCUUCAUAUAGAUCAAAAGUCACCCUUUUACUGCUGACUCACUUAAGAAAAGAAAGGGGGUGAAGAACUCCUAGCUGACGCCUAAACAAAGGACUUGUCUUUUGCAAAAAAACAGAUAAUGAGAAUUUCCCUUUGCCCUCUUAGUUAUUAGAAUUAUGUCUUUCCUUAGUGCUAUAAGUAGUAGGACAAUUCUGACUCCUUCUUUCUUUGCUCUAUUACUCAUAUACGGACUCUUUCUUCUUUAGCUCUAUUACUCAUACAAUUAUUCUCAUAUGAUAUGCGCCUAUGACUCUUGUAUAAAUUAUGUCUUUCCUAUGCGCUAUUAGUAUUGAUUCGAUUCUGUCUUUUGCAGUAUAGAAUGUACUCGCCUGGAGCUCCCCUAACUUAGCUUAUUAUUCGUUUAGUAUAAACCUUACAAAACUUCUGACUUUCGGAUUGUGAAUUGAGUGGCAAAGUGGAAUUGAGUGCUACAAAAGAAUGGAAUGGAAUAUGACUGACACCAUAUAUCAGAAUAGUAACAAGACAGCUUACUCCUGACUCCAAUAGCAUUAGCAACUUACUCCUGACUCCAAUAGCAUUAGCAAUUAUUAGGGCAUUAAGAAUGGAGUGCCAAAGAGACAUAAGAGAAUGGAGUAACAACACACCUAUACCUAUUAGGCUAUGCUCUAACAACUGACUUUCCUUAUUAUGGAUCUACUGCGUUUUCCUACUUUUUGACACUGUUAGGUUUUAUUACUUGUUGUUUCCUUUCUACUACUUACUGGCUACAGACUUUAUUGGAUUGAGCCUCCGUAUAGAAACCCUAAAUUCCAUACAAUAUAUAUUAUAUCCAUUUUGGAUGAGAGAAAGAGAACGACCAGAACCAGUAAGUCGACAGUCGUUGCUUGGCCCUUGCAUGGACAGCGACCACCUCUUUUCUUUACUUUUUUGAAAAUCUCUUCUCUCUAUAUAAGGGAUGUAUGUAUUCUCGAUAAGAGAGGAGCCGUGGUGGUAUGCAUCUCAGGACCGAGACCGUGCUACUGGACUGUCUUACUGGGUUGGCGACUCUCUGCGCUCCCAAUGACAGUAUUGGAUGAAGCACUGGAAAGAGAAGAGGACAGGGCUACAAUGACGGAUGAUACUGUUCCUUCACCCAGGGAAUGAAUGGGGCUUCGCUCUCUAAAGAUAGAGUUGAGAGUUUUUGCUUCCUGCCUUACUGAUUAAAAGAGACAAGAUCCGAUUCCUUCUGCCUAUUCAUUCACAGCGUAUGAAGUAAUAACAUUGUACAAUUGUAGGAACCUUCCCAGUUUUUGGCUAACCCUCCCUAAAGGCCUGAGCGAAUGCAGAGUAGAAAAGACGCAGGGUUCUACCACUUUGUAAGGUAAGUACUAAGUGAAUAGUUUCGGUCUAUACAGACGGGUCUAUGUGCGAAAAUGGAAUUUCGUCUUUCUAGCGCUAAGCAUAUAAUAUUGAUUGCCUGGGAUAACGAGCAUAAGAGCGUAAGGGCAAUUAUCGUAUCUCGAAAUAGGCUAGUUUGGGGUUUCCCCUUUCUUUGUUAAUCCUUUGUUUCAGAAAGCGCUUGUAUACGGGUAUAGCAGUAAUAGGACUUUAACCCAAUAGGAUAGGGCAAGUUCUUUUAGAAAGCAAGAGGGCGAUACGAGGUCAGAGUUUGAAGUCCAAUUCCCUAAAUAUCAAGUGAUUCAAUAAAAACAAGCACAAGCCUUAUUAACUAACAAAGUGGUAAAGUGUUAGGCAUUUCCAUUUCAGUAAAGCUAGCCAGUCAAAAGGAGUAUUUCAUGAAAGAAAAUGGGCAAGUAAGAGAGGGAUUCUCUACAAAAAGGCUCUAAGAUUGUAGGUCAAACAAAAAGAGGUCAGUCAUAGGGCAAAUGAAAUCUAUCCAGUGAAAACCCAAACCCUAAAAGAAUCUGGUCUAUCCCCGACAAUCCUAGUUCUUCGCCCUGUUAAGCUAUCUCUUGCAGCUACUGUUUCCGUUUCUUUCGAUGGGGACAGUUCCAGGAAAGUAGAAGUUCUGUUCUAAUGCCUUCCAGGAAGAGUGGGGUUUUUCUAGUUCAAGUGUCGUUUUCAAAUAAGUAGCAUAAAAGAGAUCCCUUGACGAAAAGUAAUAAGGGGCCACGGCUAUAUAUACAUAAAGCUUAGGAUAGCGGAUUCUUGGUUCUAGGUCAAUCAAAGGUGUUAGAGCGAGCUAAGGUCUUCUCCUCCAAUCGAAGUAAUAAAGCCAGUUCCUUGUCAAGUCAGUUAAAGAAGUGAAAUCCAUCCGACUUGAAAGUCAUGGUAUAAAGGUUAAGGGCUGCAAGCGGGUCUUCAAGAAUAGGUAGGGUUUACAGUGGGUAAGUCGGUUCUUCAAGUGUAGUUUAGUUUGGCCCUUAUAGUCCGUUUGGUUUACUUGAAGUUUCAUCUGUCUUUGUUGCUCGUGUCUAAGUAAUAAAUCUCUGUUCGACUUGACUCCCAUGUAUAAGCAGAAGAUCAUCUCGAAUCGAAUGCUGAGGUAAAGUCUCCUGGAAUAGAAUACAGAUCAGAAGCUGGGUCAAUAGCUGGAUAUUUCUCUUCAACAGGAUAUUUCUCUUCAACAGGAUCUGAUGCCGAAGCCAAAUCGAUAGAUUCCAUUACAGUUUCGCUUGGUUGAUGCAAGAAAGAUUACUGUUUGCCAGAGCAAGAACGAACAAGAACAAGAUCUACAGUAGGAACAGGAUAUGAAGCUAGAUUAGAUGCGGGAUCUUAAGCCGGAACAGUCCAUUCUUAUGCUGACCUGACCUAUCCUACUGUCCAACUAAUGAAUUGACGCCUAUAAUCUGUGCUUUCUGGUUCCCUUGCUUGCUCUCUACCACUUAAAUAGAAGCCUUACUCCUGACUUGACUCACCCCUAGCCUAGUUAGAAUAGAAGAUUGAUGUCGGCACCCGCAUAACUCCCGAAGGCUUAAGAUUUGAGUCUAGUGGAUCUGCAUUCCGUCAAAGAAUUCACAGACGCCCAAUUACUUAAGGGCACCGAUGAAGACCCGGAGACUGACUUGCGGAAUUCUUAUCCUCUGUUUUAUACCUUACCUUCUGUAGAUAUAGUAGUUCCCCUUCCCUUCUUAUUAGGGCACCCAGGAAACCCGGAAAAGACCUAUACUGAAUGGAACUGGCACCAAUGCAAUAUAUCUAAUGGGUUCGGGACCUGUCAUUAUCUGUAUUUAUUGUAGAAUUCUUAUACUAUAUUCAUUCUCUUAGGAAUGACUUACUAAUUCUUUUAAAUAAGAAGAGAGUUGACUUGCCGUGUCUUCUGUCUUAUUCCUAUCCGGAGUAUGCCCUUAACCCAGCUUCCUCACCCGAUCUUGCUUCUAUUCCUGCCUCCGAUCCCAUGAACACAGGACUAGUUGAACUCAGGCUAAUCUACCUAUGGCUACUGGCAACAAUGCAUUUCAACCUGCUGUCCGAUCCUAUAACUUCAUUAAGAUUGGCUGUGGAAUCAGUCAUCCUAUAUAAUAACAGAGAUUUUGAUAGUGCUUUUUUGCUACUUAACUAGUACUGAGUUAGUAUAGGCAAAAUGCAAGAACAACUAGCGGCCCUGCCGCGUCAGCGAGCGCAUAACUCGGAGCUCCUCCGCGACACCGAACACAUCUGGAGUAAUAACAACAAAUAAAUAUACCUGAUGUUGUUUCUUAUUGCCAAAACAACUGCCGCGUCUUUAGCUCGCUGACGCGACAGCGGACUAUUAACUGACGCGUAACAUUAGUAGUUACUUGUCCCGUAACAACUGGCGCACAACUACUCCUAAUGUCGUAGUUGCUUGCCGUCUUGUCUAGUAGUUCCUUGGCCCGAGUUCCUUGGCCCAAGCCAAGGUCAGAAACAGAAGCCUACCCGACCCGACCUAUCUUUAUUACACUCCUCAACCCGCUUCUAAGCCAACAAAUACUGAUGAAACCAGACCACUACUUGAGGACGAAGCAACUUAUUGCUACGAAUACUGAAUUGAUCCAUCUUGCCUAGCACAACUUACUAGAAGGGCUUCUAAUAAGCAAAGCACCCGACCCUACCUCUCUUUAUGACACUUGCCUCUCCUCUUUCUCAUCUCUUAUAUAAGAUAAGACUUAUGGCUCAUCUCCACUAGCAGCUGGCAACCAUCCUAUGCCAACUAUUGGAAUUCUCCUCUUUCUUGCCGAAAGAGACUCAAGCUUACCUCGAACAGGACUACCAGGGGCGGACAACUACCUUAUCUUUAGGAGCAAAGGAAUACAGAAACAGACAAAGUAGAAGAACAGAACCCAGAUUGAGAGAGAGAAGCAAAAGUCAUUAAAGGAAGAAAACCCGCAACAGGCAACUCGUAUAACUCUCAAGAACACAGGACAGGCAAGAUAGGGGCAUGGAUCUAUUUCAGCACUUAUUGAGUUUGAUGGGCAAAUCAUAAGAAGUGUCGUUAGAGUUCAUUGACGCCUAUAAGAUUGAUGGUUCAGUGACUUAACUCAUUAGUAUAGGAGUUUUCUCAGUGGAAAAGUAUUGUUUCGGUUGCAAGUACUUUUCUUGUAAGUAGUGAGGCAAAGCUACUACUGGAGCAAGAGCAAGAAAUCAGAAUGGAUGGAAUUAGCGGCCCUUAUAUUAAGUCGGUAUCGGAUAUCAGAGUUUAGGUAAGUCCAGUAGUAGAGUUGUUUCAUCAGUAUGAGUUGACUCCGGUAGAGGAGAAAGAGUUAUGGUAUUGUUUCCAGAGUUAUAGAAUCAGAAUUAAGGUAUAGUUGGCAUAGGUAGAUGAGAUGCUCUAGUCCAGAGGCUUUGAAGCAGAGCCAGAGAAGAGCCAGCAGCUUGUUGAAAUCAGUAUUAGUUGAGAGAUAUUCCAUUCCCUGACCUGUUGGACUACUGUACUACUACAGGUUGGUGCUGUAAACGGGCUGUAAACCGGGCUGUAAACCAGAGUAUAGGUUUAGAGGAUUUACUAUAGUAUUGGUACAGGAGUGAAGGAGGUAUGUUAACUGCUUACAUUAAACCCCUAUGGCUCAUGAUUCUCUUUAGUGAAUUCCUCCUGACUGAGAGGGGACAUCUGAGUUGACAUUGAAGAGGAGAGUUCGGAUAGCCCUUACUGUUAAGAGUUUAGUUAGGAAGUAAAGCAUUCAGGUCAAUUCUGAUAGGGUUUCUUACUAGGUUAUACUACAGUAGUUGCUUGUUUUAGCCUAGGAGAUACCUUUUCAUCUUUAAUAACUGAAUGAGGCUAAUCUACUUAUGCUCUGAACCAACCUAGCUAGGGCUAUGAAAACUCAGAAUUCCACACUACGAGUUUCCUUACUACUUGUCUGCUUGGCCCUUAAUCAAGUUAUAUAGAUUUGAUUAUACUUUGUCUGUAGAGCGUCAGUAUUGGGGAAAGAUCAGUCAAAACAUUAGCGGCCCUUUAGUGACACCUGUGUUCGCCUCCUCGGCUAAUUCUCUAGUUUUGUCAAUCAACUGCCCUUUCUUCUCCAGUAAUUAGUUAACCUUACCUUCCCGAAACACCUCUACUUUGGCACCAUGUAUAGAAGUGAGUUACCCAACUGCUUUAUAUCUCACUUAUGUUUCUUAUCCUGUACCCGCUCCCCUAGUUCUAAUGUAUCUAAUGCGCUAGAUCUCUUACCUGCUUAAGUGGUUUUCUACCUUACUACUAAGCUUGUCGUCUUGUCUUCUUGUCGUCUUGUCUAUCUGUUGCUUAGCCCCGAGUUUCAUCGUAUCUAUAGGCAGUAUCAAGUAGGGAAGCAGUUUAGUAAGAAGUAGAGGCCAGGCCAAAUGAGAUGGUAUUUCCUUAGAAGAGGGAGAGAUCUAGUCCUGAUUAGUUUACAGUUGCCCUGGUUGAAUCCGUAUUUAUUGCCAUAGGAGAGGCCGGGGCAGUAGAAAAAGAAGAAACAGUAGACUUGGAUCUUAAAGCUAACUAUCCCUUUGAAACACUCCCAAUCAAUCAGCGAGUAGGAGAAUCAACCAUAUACUUAUUCAAGAAGGAAAUCAAGUGUAGUAGUUUGAGAAGCAAAAGAGAAGGAUAAGGAUUAAGAAAAAGAAAAGAAGUUGUUUCAAGAGCAGUUGAGGAAGAAAGAAGUUGUUUCAAGAGCAGUUGAGGAAGAAAGACCAUAAGCCGGGGAAGACCUUCCGAUAAGAAUAGAGUCCCCCGGUAUUCUAUAUUCGUUGCUUACGUAGCUAGGCUUGGCCCUUUUUCAUGGCUGAUUCUCGAGUAAAUGACUUUAUGCUUCUAUUCCCACUCGUACAUUUAUAGCCCGGUCAACUCUAUCUGCCUUGAUAGUAGUAGUCGCUUGCCUGGUGAAAUGAACUGAUUGAUUGUAUUUACUUAUCCAAAAUCUAUAUUACCAAGUCCAGAACAAGUAUGCUUCCAAUGUUACUAAAAUGCAGAUGUUACUGAAGAAGUAGCCCUUAAGUAAUUGGGAAAGUGUUUCGGAAGGGACUCUCUAUCUGGUGUUCUUGUUGAGGGUGCAAGGAAAGCAGUCCGCUGUGGGAGUUUCAUCCAAAGAACCACUUUCAUUCUCUCUAAUAUAAGCUUAUAUAAUAGACUAGACUUUUGUACACCUCGCCUCUACGCGCAUUCAAAGAAAUAGUAGAAGAUAGAAUACUUGGAAUCCACUGCUGCUAUAGUUGUCGAUGAGUCUACUUAUGGUCCAGGAAACCAACCCGUAGUACUGUUAUGGUUCUUGAGUCCUGUGCCCUUAAUUACUGCUCACUCUCCACUCCAUUCUUGAUUUCAAUACCACCGGGUAGUCAACGCUUAGCUACCGCCGCAACAAGUAAAUCUUUGACUCCGCGCCUUAGCAACUAGGCAAUCUGCCCUGCCCCAACUCACAUUUAAGUGAAAAGAGAAACCCGAAUAAAGCACUUGGAUCUCUUCCUAGUUCAACUAACCAACCCUCGCAACUUCACUUGAACUGUCAACCUGAACCUACCUCUAUGUAGUCAACAGCAAAGAAUUCAUUACUUUACUAGUGCAUUGACGCCUACUAAUUGAAUUACCUGGAAACAGUGACCAAUUCGAAUCUCCCUCUAGAAUAAGUUUAGUAAAACUCUGAUCCUUAAAGCUCUGAUCCUUAAGUAGUAGUCCAGGCAACUACUGUAUUAGUAGCGAGUAGCGAGUUAAAGAAGCAGUAGCUCCACUCUUGUUAGUAGUGAUUUUUAUCUGAUCAGAGUAGAAGACCAGUACUGUAUUUGUAUGAUAAGUAUGAAUUCAAGUAGUACCCGUACCCUUUAGUGGAAUGAUUUGAGUUCUUCACCGACAACACUAGCACUUAAGUCAGGGUCUGUCCUGUAUGAAGUAAAGUAAACAAACCCUUGCUUGGCGGUUAUCCAUUGCAUCUACCUCUGGCAACUGUCAACACCUCUUUCUUCUUAACCUGUCCUGUAGACUAAACUAUCACUGCUGUUUCCUCUCGCACUCCUUCUUCUACUUCUUCUAUAGUUGACUUUCUUCGCACAGCUAAAUCUUUUGUAUAGUUGACUUUAUUGACCACCCCAGACAGGUUCUCAAUAGUCUAGGCACCAUCCCUUGUUGCAAGAUGAGAGAGAGAUUAUAGUCCUGCUCUUUUUUGCCCUUAAGUCAAUUGCUGUAAGUACGGAGUUUAUCCUAUUGGGGCUGUGGUUUCAUACGGAGUUUAUCCUAUUGGGCGUGGAUGUCUAGUAUGGAUAGGGUUGUGGAAUAAAAGGAGAGGCGAGGCCGGGGCAGAAGAAAUUAAGGACCGAAGAUAGCUUGCUCUGCUCCUCUUUUAGUCUCUAUAAGAUAGCUUGCUCUGCUCCUCUUUUAGUCCAUAUAUCUCAUUUGUUACUUCCCCUUGCUCUUCUUACAGUCCAUAGAAUUGGGCUUUCAGCACCUUGCCCUUGCUCCUCUUUGAGUUCAUAUAAUAGGUUACUGACCCUUGCUUUAAGAAUGGAGGCAGAUGGAUCCUCUACGAUGGCACCAUGAUCUUAGUUGUUACUUCUUAUCUCUCUUUCUACACAGUCCAUAUAAAGGCUUUCAGCGCCUUACGACGCUUUCUCUUCUUACAGUCCAUAUAAGAGGCUUUCAGCACCUUGCUCCUCUUUUAGUCCAUAUAUCCAAAGUGACUUACCCGGACUUAGCUUAUAGUCUCUAUCUAAUUUGUUACUAACCCUUACUGGUGCUGAUGGGAAAUCUAUCAAGGAAUGAAAGGGCAAAAAGUGGGAGAAUCUUGGAUCUUGGAGAACUAUGAGUGGAAAGAGAACUAGCUCGAUCCGGAACUUCUUCUUAUUAUAUAUCCAAAGUAGGGUACGCUCUUAAUAAGAUUCGGGAAAGCCUUAGCCUUGGACUCUAUCCUCUUGAUAAGCCUUAUUGUCCUUAACUAUGCUCUUCGAGACGAGACCGUAGAUUACUUUCCGGAGAAGAGUUUGAACACUUUGCCUUCCUCCCCUAACUAUGUGAAUCCAGGUGUAUGAUUAAUGGAAAGACCUUGGAUUCUCUAGGGUAACCAUCAUGAAAGAAGGCAUUCUAAGACGUUGAUAUAGAGUUGAGGCUAUCUUUUCUUGGCUGCAAUGGAAAGGAGAAGUCGAACCAACCUCUGGAAUCUUUCCGGACCUUCCUUAUAGUCAUUUGUAAUAUAGUAAUUAGUAAUUCGCUAACUCACACAACUGUGAAACUCCAUUAAGCGUUAACCCCGAACUCAAUGGCACCCACUCCUAAUAAAGUAAAGAUGUUUAUUACCUUGCGUAGCUUGCAAGAAUGAAGUACUCUUGUCUAUGGUUCGAGUCACUGAGCUAGUAGAAGCUUAGAGAAAACGGUGCUUUACUUCAAUUCUAUUCCUGAGAGUCAUAAGGAAGGGGUCUGGGUGUUAGAGAUGCAAAAGUCAGUAAAGUCUCCUUAUUGAGUUUUGUCCUAGGUCUGACUUCUUUGCCCAUCUUUCCAGGAAAAUGAACCCUAGCUGCCCAAAUAUGUAUUUCACCUUUCAUUCGUUAGCUCCACUCUAGGGCUUUUACUCGGAACUGAUCAGAAGGAGCUACUUAGGGAAUCGAGCUCAGCAGUAACUGAGGGGGGAACACAUGAAUAAGGCUACUUAUCUGCAAUAGCGCAUAUAGGAAUCAAAUCAAUAAGUAAGGAUGCCUGCCCACACUACUAUACCAAUAGAGCCCGUAUAAGACCAAAACACUACAAUAAAGAGUUGAACUAGCAGCUAUCAGAUUGAACUACUACCUUCUCAUAAUGAAAACAGAGCUACUAAAGAACUCGACUCGGAACAGGUGCGCCGGAUGCUUCUAUGGCUUCAACAAGCAACGUAGAAUUAAACCCCUACUUUACAACUAGGAAUCCCAGAGGUAAAGGCAGACUUGAACCGGAAACUAGGACUCGGCAUCAAACGGCAUAAAACAUAGGACUCGACAUAAAGAACCAAACUCGGAACUAGUAAUUGAACUACUUACUUCUAAAUAAGGCUUUUACUCGCUACUGAUCAGAAAGAGCUACAGUCCACAUACCCAUUGUUAGCAUUCGUACACAAUUCUGAGUAUCUUGACUUUCUUUAUUGGUGGAAUUCUUUAUUCUGAUAUUCUUGAUUUCUGGUUUUGAUCAUUGAUUGUUUUUUCUUCCAAUAUUGGUGUCUUGGCUGUUCUUUUCUCAUUUCUUGGAUUACAAUACCCUAGCCCGACCCUAACAGAUAGAUCGUAGUGAUGCGGUCACCACCCAUACAAGUAAGUAAACUAGCCCGACCCUAACAGGAUGGUACUCUCUUUUGACUACCUAAGUAAGUAAACUAAGUAAGUCAACCACCCGACCUAGUAAAGGAAUUCCACUCGUCAACUACUGGCAAAGAAUUCCACUAUCAACUCAGAGCCAAGCGUAUACUACAACUACUACUAUACAAGUUUCACUCCUUACUCAGGUACGGGCUUUCUCUCUAGCUUUCUCUCUUUUCCUUAUAUAUGAGAUUGUUAACGCUUCAUUCUUUAUAUGAUAAUUGCUUAAGGCUUAAUGUUACUAUUGCCUUAGGAUUCUGCUUCCUCUUAUGGGCCUGUUGCCUUCUCUGCUCUUAUUUUAUUCCCAAUUUGUUCCUACUCCGGAUAUGGAAAAAGCUUCUUUUCUCUCUAUUUACUACUUGCUUAACACUAGGGUUAUCAAACUCCCUUAGCGCAGAAGCGUGAAUCAACGACAAGCAACCUCUAGCCUACCCAUAGUGCUCUCAACUCUCAAGUUCUAAUUUCACUAACAGGUUACCUCGACUCUGGCUCUUUUCACUCAGCUGACAUACCACACUGGUGCAGUGCAGAUCCUUUGACAACAACUAUCACAAGAACAGGACUACCGGGAUGAAGACUAGAACUUAACUCGGACAGGAUCGGUAUGCUACUAUAACUCCCGUCUCAUCUACCGGGGAGUCAACUAAUACAGAUUCAAGCAGUCCCUUUCCUAUCCGUUCACCUAUAUAAGAACAGAUAGAAUUAUCUACUAUUUUUCCCUACGCCAAGACACUACUAAUGUGGCGCGGCAGCCGCCAAGCAACUACUAACGACCAAGCAACGGCGCGCCAAGUAACUACUAAUGUUACGCGGCAGCAAAUGACAGUCAUAACGGCCAAGCAACGGCGCAAGACGUUGUACGGCAGGAGCUAUAGCUAAGUUCUGUCUUCGUAGAUGCUCUCGGCGGUAGCAACAGGCAAGCAACUACUAACGACCGCCAAGACACUACUAACGUGGCGCGGCAGUGAGUUUUAGGCGGCGCAAGACGUUGGGCGGUAGCCAAGGUAAUAGAUAUGACAAGUUAUUACAAUAGAUGUUUUUGGGGCCGCUUCCUAUAAUUCCUCUUCGAGUUAUAACAAUAGAUGUUUUUGGGGCCGCUCCACUCUUUUUAUUACAAUCUAUGUUUAAACCCUACUGUGUCCAUACUGAGUGAGUAUAUGAGAAAUAUGAGUCGUUUUUCUACAGAAUGAAGUGAUUAUGCAAAUGUUAAGUCAACUCACAACUCCUGGGCUAUCCGAACUCGCCUCAAAGCCGAUACUUUCUUCUUUUCUUUAUAAUAGAAUAUAAUAAGUGGACGAAUCCAGCUAAUGAUUCUUUUCUUUCUUUCCCUUUUGAAAGUCAAGUGAACUUUCCUCGCCCAGCUUCCUUACCUGCUUCCUUAAUAGAUGAAACAAUAGAUUGCACUCGCCAAGCAACGUAGACAAAGGCACAGCUAUGGACCAACUUCUUCCUCAGUAGUUAGAAAUACUAAUUAAUAGAGACCUAUUGCACUCCCUUACCGCUUUUCAAUUGAAUUAAAGAAUAGAGUUCAACUUGGCAGGGUAGAAACAUCAGAAUGAUCCAGGCCCGGUAUAAAGCAGUAUAAAGCAAGAUCAUAGUCAAGUAAGAAUUCAAUUCGACUUGAUCCAAUAGAGUCAGAACACCUUGUCAUAGAGAGCUAAGCCUCUUAUUCUCUAACUGCUGUUCAUUCUAUUCCUGCGAGUAGUGAGCGAAAGGGGUUUACAGCUUUGUUUCCAGCCUCAACAAGUAGUAGUCGGCGUAAGGGACAGGAUCAGUUCUCUGGAAUCAGUUAUCUAUCUGUUAUAAGAAAGAAUGAAAGUGGGAAUGUUUUAAACACCAAUCAACCACUUCGGACAGGACAGGUUUUGACUGUUUCUCUACCUCGGACAGGACAGGCGAAUACAGGUUACAAACACAGGACUUUGGUAAGAAACUAAAGAAUUCGCUCUAUCUCCAACUACAGGCUAGGCUCUGUCAACUAAUUCCAGCCACGCUAAAGCAUCAUCUGCACCCGACCUCGACUCUAGCUUACAAAUCAAGUUAUUGCUCUCAUCGCAUCUACCGGAGUCAACAAAAACGGAUUCUAUAGGACUUACUACAACUGGGCUGCUACUACUAGCAACCCGACUGACUACUUAAAGAAUCAACCCAGCUUCUUUUCUUUAAGAUAACGAUAGGGCUUGGCUUGGUAAUACUUAACGCUUCCUUCAGUGGACAAAGGAUUCUUCGAUUGUAAACUCUUAACGCUACGCUUGAAUUCAAUUGAAAUUGAAACACCGUAAGCAUAGUGGUGAGUAAAGUCAACUAAUACUAUAUUUCCAUCUUUCUACUCUCUUGCCCCGAGGAGAACAGUCAUUGAAUAUCUAUCUUUUGCAUAUAUACCAUGAGAAUGUCAUCAAGCAGAAACUCAGUUAGCGGCUCACUUACCCUCAUGCGCAGAAAGAAAUAGAACAGAAACUCCAUAUCUUAGGAAUGCACCUUAACCUUUAGAGGAUUGAUCCGGGCUAAGGGAGUUUAGAGUGUCAAUUCCUGGAGGUGACAUGUAAGAUUCCACAUAAGAUGAGUUUCCCGCGACUAGAGCCGAGUUUAGAUACCACAGCACAGGACUUACGGGGUAGGGCCAGGAAUAGAUUCGAGUGCAAAGAGAGGACUUGAUUGAACUGAUGCCACUUCACUGUAAACAAAGAAUGAAUUGGAAUCUGUCACUGCAUGCUAUCAAAAUCGGAAUGGAAGAUAGACCCUUCCAAAUGUGAUUGUGUUGAGCCCGCCUAUCAAUCCGUUGUUCAAGCCUUAACCGAGUAGAAAAGCGAAUCUGUCUUUGGCGCAAGAACAAGUGCCAAUGAAAUAAGUCCCCCAGAGGCCCUUUUUAAGGAGUUUAGUUCAGUUCGCCAAUUGUUCGUUCAAGUCUUGUAUCGAAAAUAUUGUCAUUAGAGAAUUAGAGGAAGAAAGAGUAGCAAUUCCUAUUAGAUAUGGCACAUCGGUAACAGUACACAAUUCCACUUCAACAGGGCGCUCAAAAGAAAAGAUUAAUCGAAGGCCGGCACAAGAUUCCUGUCCGACAAGCAACAGAGUUAGGCCAAGCAACUCACACUUUCUUUAUUACUUGCUAUGUGCUAGGGAGAAAGAGUUCAAAGAGCAUUAAGUUGAAGGCGGUGCCCUUACCGAGUCCUGUCUUUAGCUUACGUAAGAGUGAGUUUCAAGUCCUGUGUUUACCUGUCUUUCGGGAGUACUUUAUUAAGGGUUAGCAAGAAGGAGGUCAAUCUUUCUAGACAAAAAGCACUAUAGGGACAUUUCCGGAGGCUUAAUGGUCUAUUUCCCAUCAAACUAUUAGAAACCUUAGAAACAAGGCCAAUACAGCAAGCAGCUACUAGGCUUCUUAACCGACGCUCCCUUGCCUAUACAGCAUUUCUUUGAUUUAUUAUUUCUUUUCUUUAAGUGAAACCUUAGGGAUGGAUCCAGUGGGCCAUAAUACAUAGGCUUCCGCAUUCCCUUACUUAAUAGCAAUUGAGAUAGCAAUGAAUACUAUAGCCAUUAAUACUAUGUGCAAUUAGGUAUGAUCUAGUGCAUUAGGUACAUAGAAUGAUAUGUCUUUACUCGAUUCUAUUAGAGUGGAAGUUAGCUAACAAUAAGAAUGAAUACACGGGCCCUAAUACGUAAUAGCUAGCGCAUUCUAAGAUAUAGUAAGAGUGACUUAAAACAUAUGUAUUUUCUUGUAUAGUUACAAGAGGAGAGGAAAGAAAGAAUGGAGGAAAGAAACACAGAAUUCCAGUGCUCUUCGAAAGAAAGAAAUACAGAAAGAAGGAAAUAAAGAGAUGUUGCUAAGGUUGCUAGCUCGAAGUCCGCUACUGAAUGAAAGAAUUCCACUAGCCCAGCAGACUCCUACGGAAGGUAUCAAACGGUAGUGGAUAACUGUGCCUCUUGCCUAUGUCCUCCGCGGUAACUAUAUAAAUGACUAUUCAUUACUCAACAAAGCAAGAUCGGGUGAUGAAGCCACAGAAUACAGAUCUUUACCCGAACCGAGUAGUUAAUGGCUUAACCGAGUCGCGGGAAUCUCUUAGGGGCCACCCUAUAGUCUAGUGCUCUGAACCAACCCAGUACUCUUUCUUAACCACUUUCAUUCUAUCUUAGAACUGGAACAGAACCACUUGGUUCGGACCUCUAUCUCUUGCAAAUCAAUACUCCAUUCCUGACACUCAAUACUCAAUUCCUGGCACUGCUUCUAAAUAGGAUGAUCCUAGAACUUGACCUUGAACUUCACCUUUCCACUGUGGAGCUGGCUCUCUCUAGAUUAGACACUUGUCCCCCGACUAGGUAUGAUAGAAGGCUAUCCCUUAUUCAUAAGAACUACAGCCUAUGCGUUAGUGAGUUAAGCGAGUGAGAGGGGUGUCUGAUCUCGUUAGCCAUAGAAUGCCCUGUUCCAGUGAAGGGCCAAGCUAAUACUGGUAUCAAGAUCAACCAACUACUGGCAAGGAAGCACUAACAGAGUCAAAAGAGCAUAAGUGGAAGUCGAGUGUGAGUUUAAGACCGGUCCCUUAGUUACUGGUAUUGAGUUUCAUUCUUUCACUACUGGAUCGGUAGGCUUACUGUGUCUGAUGCUUGACUGUUUGAUUCUUUGACUAGCUUCUUCAAUUCUGAAAUUCCCCACUUGCCGACGACGUUCCAUUCCUUUAUUGACUAGCUGCCCCCUGGCUCUUAUUCUUUGACUCCCCGGCUCCCGAACACAUAGUCAGUGGGCUAGCGUAUACUAGAUGCGGGCCAAGUCGACAACUAAGUUGAUUCUGUGACUCCUUAGCUCCCUAGUAAUGAACUCCUCUGGCUCAUAUACCUUAAUUCUGAUCCUCCGUUUUCUCUUCUCUUCUCUUCUUGCCCAACUCGUAUACUAGGAGAUACAGCAUCAACACCCUAAACCAGACUUUCAAACUACACUCCCCUUUCCUUACUUUUCAUCUACAGCUGGAUCUGCUCGUAACAAACCCAACUCGAGAGCUAAACAAAGUCAGUAUAUUCUAUCAUACCAGGCUAGUUUCUUAGUUUCAAUGAGAGAAAAGGAUAAGAAUGAAUUUCUACCGGACAGCUUAGUCGGAUAAAGAGCCAAGCGUAUACUACUUGCACCCUUUACUCCAGUCAAACUCUGAUCUUCAACUUCGAACCAACCGGCGGGCUAUUAGGUUUUAGUAUGAAUUCCACUCUAAAGUAGGCAAGCAGACAACUAGCAACUCUCAACUCUACUUUCUACUUUCCCUCGACCUGGAAAUCUAUCUACUUUCGGGAUGAAACUAGGGAUAAAACAAAUAAGCUAAUCCUGAUCUAGCUUCUGCUGACUUGAGAACUGCUUCCCCGGCUUCCUCUAUUUAUUCGAAAGAAUGCAUUUUACUGUAAUCUUAUCUUAUCGACUUUCCUUGCACUGAGGAAUAGUCUCCAUUCUUAGCUAACAGUGAAUGUAGUUAACAGACUUUAUAAUGAGUUAUUCCAGAGUCCUUAUUAGAGUUAUUCCAAAGAGUCCUUAUUAAUAGUGGCAGCCAAGUGUCUCCUGUGACUUCUUAGCCUUACAAAGGAAUGUUUUGAACUGCUCCCCGGUAGACAGGACUACUACUUAUGGUUAUCGUACACUAGCCUCGCCUCUUGCUCUUGAAACUAACCACUCCUUAAAUGAAGUAUGUAGUUGGAUACCUUCCUGCUCCUGUUAUGAGGAAGUCCUGUAUCUAGAAGUCUUCACCCUUCACGGAUAGGUCGGGGCAGAAGCAUAAGAUAGUAUAGGCUUAGUUGGUAGGUCAGGGCUAAGAUCAGUAUGACUCUUCUCUUCUCAGGGCUAAAGAAGGGGAGCUCCUCUUCAGAUGGAGAAGAUGUUGUGAGAGUUUCGGUUGCUUCUAAUUAUUGGAAUUGCCUGUUGGAGAGGGUUAAGGUGAAACAACAUAUUUCUUUACAAAGAGAUCCAUACUGGUUGGUGGUUUAUAAGACGAGAAUUGCCUUAUUGUGGCGAUGUCGCUCGUAGCUCCCAGUAGUCAAGUUUCGUUCAGAGCUCCCCCCAAAAGGAGUUGUGACACCUAGGACACCAGGAAGAUUAGUGAAGUUUUCAGCGUCAGUGUCAGCGUAAGGCAGAGUUUACAGUGUUGACGAUGAGAGAGGAGUUUUCACCAGAAGAUAAGGAUCACCCUAUGGGCUAGGAAAGUAUGAAGGUGUUCGCGCAAGGUAAGGAAACAAACUGAAAGAAACAAGCAAGGCGCUAACACUCAAACUGAAUAGAAUUACAGCUGACAAGCGCCUUAAUCGAUUAACGGAUUCUUCUCGGCUUCUAUAUAUGCUCAUGCUCUUUGCCCUUACUUUAUACUUUACCUCAGCAUGAGAUUAGCAUUCCGCUUAUGGAACAAGACUGGAAAGAACCAAUUGUUAUACUUGCUGCUGAUUCAUUAUCUGGUCUCGACUUGAAUUGAAUUGCAUUGCUUAUACUUCGGAUUACUUUAGCACCCAACCCGAAAGAGCGUCUGCAUCUGCACUAUAGGGCUAAUCGGGAAAACACAGAUAAAGUCAUUAGUUUGCCCGCUGAAGAUCGAGUAGGAAGAGAGAAGAAAGACGAGAAGUAAUAAGUGAAGUAAACAAGCAAGAGAAUCAAAAGAAUCAUUAUUCUAGCGAGGUACUGUACAACAGGCGGACUAUCUGCACCGGCUAACUCAACUCUACUUGAAACAACUGGAGACUUUCGAAGAACUGAGGAUUCCGUUGAUACAACUUCAUCGGGAGCAUCUUAUCCUGCGGAUGAUCUUGUUCCUACUUAAGAUCCUUCUUAGGAAGACUGACUUUCAACAACACCUUUCCUGACCGCGGAGCUUGAUGGUUCAUCUGCUGCGUCUUACGCUUAAGCGCUAAGAUCUGAUUCUGGGUGACUCGGUGCAAGUAAGGUAGUAUCAAGAAAAGAAUCGAACUAUCCCUAUAUUCUGAAAGCAAAAGUCCUAAGGUUAAUUACCAAGUAAGGUAUUCGGGUGUUCGUGGCGCAACUAAACGAAAAAUAUAAGUUAAGCGCGUUAGCGAGUUCUGCCCACUACACGGUGGAAAGUAGGAGUGAGCUCAAAAGGAGACUAUACUACCAUAGCCUCUUGCUACUAUACCUCUUAUCCUAUACCUAGGAGUCCAGUCCCAACAGAAGCUCCACAGUAGAAAGGUUAAGUUAAAGGAAAGUAUCCAAGAGAAGAAAGAGAAGAGUUAUUGUUUUCAGAGCCAUAGCUCCGGUAGAAGAGCAAGAAAGCAGAUAACUUGAUUAGUUGGAUAGAGGAGAGCCAGUAGUUGUAGAGAGGAGAGUUUAGAGUGGAAAGAGAACCAGUUGACCGGGCAUGGCAGUAGGAAGUGUACGAGUUGGCCUUGCAUCGUUGCUUGGUCUGUAGUAGGAGCUUAUUAGUUCCUUGGCGGAUAGCAAAUAGAGACUUCAAGUUGAGAGGUCGGUUCGGGUGCUAGGAAAGCUGUCUGCAGGGAGAGUUUCAUCCCGAGUUUAGUCUUCCAGGGCAGUUAAGUAAGGAAAGGAAUAGGAUGGAUUAGAAUCAUAAUUAGAAGAAAAGAACUGUUAGCUGAUAAAGACAGGUUCACUCAGGACAGGGUCGGUCGAGUGCUUGUGUAAGGAUUCUGUGGCAUUAGAGAUAGAGAUUGGUAACCAACCUGGAGUGAAAGGCUUAACCGAAGAGGUCGGCUCGGGAAGCUAUGAAAGGAGUUGGCUAAAGUCUAGUCCAAGUAGUGCUGUUAAGGAGGGUCGGCGUAUAGUAGAGAAUUGCAUGCUCCUGUCGAGAUCUAUCCCUAUUCUUCUAUUGUCGAGAUCUACCCCUAUUCCUCUAUUAAUUACUUCAAGAUCCAUCCCUAUUCUUCUAUUAAUUACUAUAUAUGCUAGUUGGGUUAAUCUAUAUAUGCUAGUUGGGUGAAUAGCAGCAAUAGAUGUGGGUGCCUAGCCUUUUAGGGGGUAGUGGACAGUGAAAGAAGCUAGAUCAGGAGAAUCACCUGUGAAAGUUUCCCCUGCAGAGUAGCGGUAAGUGUGAUAAGAAUUAGAAUGAAUAGGGGAAUAGUGGUAAGUGAGUUCCUGUGUUCGCCACCUAUUCCCAGCAAAGCGGGUACUAGUAAAGAAUGGAGCUAAGUAGACUCAGACUUAUGCUAGUGCCACUGAUUCCCUGCGGCUAGAGUAUGGACUCGGAAUAGAACUAAGUAGCCAAACUCAGUAGCCAGGAGAGGAGAAAGAGUUCAAAGAGGAAGUAGAGUUCCCAUAGAAGAAGGAAGAUCAGAGGCAAGGUCAGCUGUGGAAUCUGUAUUUGUAGCCUGAGCAUUCCUAUGAUUUUAAGUGAAUCAGUAUCCGAUCCAGCUGUUGGAGAUGGAGCUAUUGAUUCUUUUUCUUAAACUAGUAUACGAGUAGUUCAGUUUCAUUCAGUAUUAGUAGUGGUAGAGAGGUCGGGUACUUGGUUGGAAAGAAAGAAAGUAGUACAGUAGUAAGCCCCUAUUAUUAAGUCUUACCCGCACUGAUUCCCCAUAUAUAGUACUUGUUUCAUUCACCAAGCAACAUAGUAAGUUGCGCGGUAGCGAGCUUUUACUGAGUGGAAUUCUUAGCUAACUUACCACAAUUCUUAUUGUCUGCCGAUGCAAAUAGUUAAGUGGCACAGGACGUAGUUCUGUUAUCUUAUCCUCCUUUACAUCUCUCUUGACCAUCUUUCUGAACUCUGGAAACUCCUCUUUCUCCUUUUCUAUAUUAAGUAAUAGAACUAUGAGUUUCUCCUUUUCUAUCCUAAGUAAGAGAACUAUGAGUUGGAAUUGAAGAAUGGAACUAAGGAGUUACAGGCUUAACUGAACCCCUACUUCAGACUGAAACAAGUGAGUCCAAGGCUUAAAGCCGGUAGUCAAAGAACCCAAUCAGGGAGUGAUAGGCUUCAACCGGUACUAACAAGACUGAUACCGACACCGAGCAGACCUCAACCAGUGCAUCUAAGGCUUAAACGAGGUAGUGGCAAGCUAUCCGACCCGAGUGACAGACUGAACCAAGGGAUCGGCAGGCUGGUGUUUAGCAUAGUAAGACUCCAACCAGUGCAUCUUAGGCUAUAACCACUGCAGCUAAGGCUUCAACGAGGUAGCUCGGGUCUCUAACAAGUAACUACAGGACUGAUACUUAGCAUAGGCAGACUGAAAGCAGUGAAUCCGAGACUUAAAGCAGUGCUUCUAAGACUUCAGCUAGUAACAAUCAGAACGGAGCUAGUGCAUCCAAGACUUCAAUCCGAGCUAACAAGAAUGCAACUCGGUCGUUCAAGCCUGAUAUCGGUGCCACUGAGAAUGGAGCUGACCGGUGCAAGACUGUUGCUAUUGCUGGUAAGACUUCAACUCAGUAGCCAAACUCAGUAGCCAGAGAAGAGGAGAAAGAAUAUAGAUAUCAGGUAUCAGCUUUGAAGCAGAAGAAACUAGUUCAGGAUCGGAGUGGGAUCGGAGCUCUUCUGUUCUGGUACUAGGCUAAUUGACUGACUUGGCGGGUAGGGUGUAAUCCUAGAGGUCGGGAAUUGUCUUAGAGAAUGAAGCUGUUAAUCGAUUAAGACUAAAGUAAGCAGUCGAGGCACUAGAAUUGACCGCCUCGCAAACUAGAAUACUAUACUGAUUGACUUAUUGCUCGUACGAGUAUGGGCCUGAUCAUCCUGUUCUGAAAACUUAUAAUACUUCAAAGAAAGCCACCUAUAGGUUAUUCUGACUCAAAUCUCAAGUACGCAGCGGAAUUGUCUGUUCUUGUUUCAUCUUAUAAAGAAGCAGGGACAGAAAGAGUACACGCAACUAGAAGUGGAUAAUUGCCAGUUACAGUUCUAUGGUUUACAGCCCAAACUAGUAGAAAUGCCUGUGUUUGACUUUCAUCUGUCUUUGUUGCUAGCUGGGUAAGCCAGGGAAGCUGUGAUGCCCUAGUAGUAAUAUAAGAAUUCCACUCACUGGUAGUAAGAUCCGAGUGAAACUAAGAGGUGAGCUAGUGGUCCUGUUGCAUCUCAAGUAGUAGUCCAGGAAUUCCUACCUUUAGUACAGGAGCCGAGCCAGGAGUUUAUGAGUUUAAUCCCAAACUAGUAGCAGCCCAGUAGUAGCAGCACUUUAGUAGUAGUCCAGCCCUUAUGUUAAUGGUGAGAGUUUCGGUUUCAUCUGUAUUUGUAGUUGUAGCUAGAGGAUAGAUAGUCAAGGGAAGAAAGAGAACCGUAGUGCUAGUCUAGUUCACGGGCUCCUUAGCUAGUGUUCGGCUACUAUACCUCUUGUUCUUUAGUCAAACUAUCCUAGACAUUUCUUAGAGCUAGUCCUAUUGUUGCUUCAGAUGCCAAAUCCCUACUUUAGAGUUUCCAUUCGGACUUUCCAAUUAAGAGCACGCACGAAGUGUUAAAAAGAUCUAUUAUACCUGGCUAAUUCUCCUCUAGCUAAUCAAACUCGGGAUUACACAUGAAUAAGUCUCUCUGGGGCGCAUUUCUCGGCUUGGAGUGGCGAGUAUCAGAUUCGUACUAGCAGCAAUAAGAGUUUAACUUGGAAUGGAUAAUAUGGGUAUGAUCUAAAGCUCCGUAAUAGUAAUAUCAUAAUAGUAAUUGAUCUAAUAAAUAAUGGGUUUCAAAGUCAAGUAAUAGAAGGCCAAAGCCAGAGUCGAGUUGGGGUAAGAAGAAGAUAGUCGUCCAGUCCUGUUUAAUCAUCUAGUCCUGUUUUCUCAGUAGUAGUUAGUUGACAGAGGUGAGCUAGUAGGAAAGGAAGAAUCAAACUCAGCAGACUAAGAACCAAACCAGUAAAUCACAGAAUGCAACUCAGCAGUAUAAGAAUGGGACUCAUCGGUGAGCUAGUAGGAGCCUAAGAAGAAAACCGGGGAGUCCUAGAACGAAACAGGGGAGUAGUCCAGUUGGUAAGUAAACUAUAUUCUUAAAGGAAAGAGAACGGGUUGGAAGGAAAGAGAAGAGAGCCGAAUGAAGUGAAGUUAAUAGUAGCCAGAGUUCAGAGUGAUAGGAGCCCAUUCAAAAAGAAGAAGUUUCAGGGGAUUCCAAUCAGAUGGAUAAGGUAAGUGAGCAAGUGAAGGAGCUGUUUCAGCAGUAGGAGCAGUUCCUGUUAGGUCUUAGAGAUCUGAAGCUCCAUAUAUAAGUGUUGAGUAAGCCCGAAGCCCUUAAGUUAAUGUACUAGGCUCGGAUAGGCUUAAGUUCUUGUGUGAAGCAAGUAGUCAAUUGUUGCAUCAAUCCUAGGGUAGGGGAAAAGGAGGUCAAUACUUAUGCUAUGUGUUUUGGAGCCAAGCAGAUGCAAGCGGUAAGUGAAUAAGUAUCGUCUCUUUGAGGGCGAGUUGAGUCGGCGAGAUCAUAAGCGGUGCGCUUACGGGGAGUUUUCAAUUUCAAUGGAAUUCUUUGUUUACUCAUAGCAAGAUAAGAGUUUCACUCCAAUAGUGCUUAUCCUUAUUUCAAGGUAAAAGAGAAAUCAGGGUAUCCAUAAACCUGUUCUGAAAUCGAAGUUGGAGUUAAUGAUGUUUCUGUACUCCACUCAAAAGGGCUAAGGUAGGUCUGCCUUUAAGUACUAGAUUCUUUUAUUCCAUGAGACAAGUGAGCUCCGUUAGCGAGUUGUGCGAAGGAUGCUUCUGAUCCGGGCAUCUGAUCUCGUAGACUAGGUAGGAGGCGGGACAAGAUAAGAUGUGUAGUUACCAACAAGAGCGGAGGUAGACUUCAUGGAUGAAACUAAUUAGUAUACGCUUGGCUCUUUCGAAACUCAAUCCUUAAGAAGAUAGGGCUCUGGACUACUCCGACUACUCUACAGGUUGGGCAAGGGAGACAAAGACAGGACUUCCCUCUUUCUCAACUAAAUCCUUACUAAGAACAGAUAGAAUUGAGCUAGUUAAACUCAGACUGAAACCACUACCACUGAUUCCCAGCUACUGGGGAAGAGUAAUCAGAAACAACCUAGGUAGUUUAAGAACGAAACUCAGGAGUAACAGACCAAAUGGAAGAAUUGAACAGUGAUAGAGAUGAUCAGAAUUCCACUCAGUAGUAACAGAAUUAAUAUCGAACACUUGACUUGGUAAUAAAGGAAGGAACCAGAAAUCCUAUAGGAAGAAAUGAACUCUAAGGACAGUUUCUUAGUUGAAUGGUCAAUCCUUCGA